This 60890-nucleotide long non-coding RNA is filed under the name Musa acuminata (dwarf banana). RNAcentral's name for it is "long non-coding RNA (MACU_LNC007848)". The record is from RNAcentral. Lineage: Eukaryota; Viridiplantae; Streptophyta; Magnoliopsida; Zingiberales; Musaceae.
CAUCAAGCUCAGUUCUCAAGUGGGGUGCGUGUACUCUUUCUGUCCCUGCUAUCUUUCUGUCCCUGCUUCUUUACCUAUUGCAGAGAAUGGGUCAUAUGUUUCUUAUACCUUGUUGCGGCGGAGACUGAUAUUAAUAGUGAGUUGCUAAGGCUAUUAAUAGUACUUAUAGGCCUAGUUGCUAAGGUGAAGAAGACUAGUAGCAGCAGUAGGAGCGGAGAGGCAAGGGGGAUUCUGGUUUUGAAAGAGUAGACAAUAAGGCUAGUGAGUGGAAUUCCUUACUUUAAUGAGUUAGUUCAAGACUUUAAUGAGUUAGUUCAAUUCAUAACUUCAAGUUGAGAGGUCUGGUCAGAUGGGAAAGGGGAUCCUCCAUUUCAUGAUUAACUUCAAGUCUAGGUCGAGGAAGACAAAGUCAAGAGCCCCAUUAAGUAUACAAAGUCAGGAGCCCCAUUAAGUAUAUAGUAACUGUAACCAAGCAUAUACUAGACAAGCAUGAGUUUUCACUUAUUAUGUACAAGUCCAGUGUUCGACAAGUGAAUAAACUGAAUCAGCAAACUCAGUAUCAGACUCCGUAUCAGACGAAUUGACUUACUUCGACACUAAGACAGAUGAGAGAAUUUCUCCUAUAGCGACGGAACUAGCAGCGGCAAAUGAGCUAGCAAGGGCAGGCUAUAAGUAAGGGCAGACUCAAACAAAAGAGUCGAGGAGCUAGGGACAGCAGCUAUAGACUAAGAGAGAGCCCUGGAAGAGUGAAAGUGUGAGGGUAGAUUUAGGUUCAGUAAUAUCCGUUUUUUAGUUAGUAGCGGUAGGCCGUUAAUAAGGCUUUUUUUGUUCUGAUUAGUAUAAGUUGAAGGAUCCGGGUCAGCAGCCGUAGCCUUCAAAUAAGUAGCUGGUUUCCCAUUUAGUGGGGUCAGUAUUAUUGGCAUUAGUGAGUUGCCUGGCGAGUACAAUCCCUUGUUUUGAGUUUGAUUCCCGAAAUAUAGUACUUCAUUCUGUACCGGACUACAAGAAAGUAUGCAAAGCAAGAAUCUGAAUAUGGAAACAAAGAAUGAAAGACAUAAGUAACAGGGCGAAACCGAGGAAGAGCUGUUUUAGAGCAAGUAGGGGUAGACUUCGGUUAUUGUUAGUGUAGUAGCAAAGGCAAGGAUCCGAACUAUUGGAUAAAGGAAAGAAGCCGGGAUCCAUAUCAGUAGAAAGAAGGGGAAGCCCUAGAAACUGUAGUCACAGGCUAAUAGUGAGUAGUGACAGUCCAGUUAGUAGUGGUAGGCCGAUACACUAGCUAAUAAGGCAGGGUUUUGGGGGGCAUGAAUAAGGCUUUGACAGCAGGGUUCAAUUCAUUGUUCUAAAAGUGGAUAGGCCCUUAUAGUAUGUUUCGGGAAGGUAGACAAUAAGUGACUUGAGAGGAGAAGUCGGGUGCUUGUGUUAAGCUUAGAAGAAAUCUAGAAUAUUUGCCUACUUGCCCACUUGUCUAUCCGUUGCUUGGCCCCCAACCUGUAUAGUAGUCUAGAGCCCAGAGCAAUAACUGUAUUAUAAGAAUUCAACUCAAAAGUAGGAAAGUAGGAGUUACAGAAUUGAACACUAGGUGGUUAGAUCAGAAUGCAACUAACUACCAGUAACUAAGGGACCGAUCUGAAACUCUCACUGAUUCUUUUGAGGCUUAGGAUCUUGAAACAGCUCUAAAAUCAACCUAGCUGUAGGGCAAAAUCAUCCUAGCUGUAGGGGCAGUAGUCAAGUAAAUACUUAAUGGAAUUGAAUGCACAUCGCAUGCAUCUAAGUUUUGAAUCUGACCUACAUCUCGAUUUCCUUGAUACCGUACUAAAACCAGCGCAGGAGAAGGAAUGGAUUCUUCCCCCGGAGCUUCACUUUCGAACACAUAAACAUCAUUUCCUGAUCCCGAUCAACCUCGAGUCGACGUACCAACCUAUACAGCGGAUUCUUUAGUCGCAUUAACUGUCAUGUCAACAACUGUCUGGUCUGGUCCGGAGCAAGUCAAGUUUUUGGCGCUAAGAGAGUUUACCGGCUAAAGUUAGGGUUGCGCAAAGUCGUCUGCAAGUGAACCAUAAAGAUGAGAGGCUCAAUACAUUCGUUGAGCCCUUAUAGGGGUCUUCUAGGUGGAUUCCCAUUUGAUUAGGCAAAGAUGCAUUUAAAGGACAUAGGCAUUACUUCAAGUAACCGUUAGCACAAACAAGCUUCAACUUCCAAGGGAAACUAGACUUUAUCAUAAUAAGAAAGAGUAGGCACUUCCAACUGAUAUGGGCGAGUAAUCAAACCUCACUGCAGACGCCGGGAAUACAGAUCUUCAGCAGUGUAAAGAAAGGGAAGCUGUGUUUAGUAUAGAGAUUUAGAUAAUAAGAGAGGAAUAGGUUCUUAUGUCGGUGAACAAGUAAGUUGCCCGCUCGCAGGAAUUCAAUCAGUGCCGAGUGUUUCAGUUGAAGGAUCAGAUUGUGUUGUCGGUUAUGAAAGGGAUAGUCUCAUAAGGUUAAAGUAGAAUCGAGGGUGUUGACGCAAGAUCAACUGUAAUUACAUUCUGAAAGCAAGGUACCUAUGCUCUGUUUGUUUACUUGAUUCUUUACUGGGCACUCGAUAGAUUCAAUCUCGAUAGAUUAACAAUCUCGGUAGAUUCCAUUCCGUAUUUGUUUCUUGAUCUUACAGAGAGACUAUGCUAUCUUCCUAUCUUAGCACAGUAGAUUCAAUUGGAUAGCAGAAGACAGGACCAACAGGACUAAGUGUGCUAACGGGAAGCUCGAAAGAUGAAAUUCCAGUUUUCUCGGCUAACGUUGACUUCCUCGGGCAAUCAACAUUACUCCGAUCUUCUGCGCAAGCAAGUUGUUUUACUGUUUUCCUUGGCUUACGUUGAGUUCCUGUUUUUCGGGGUAUACCAUUAUUGUAAUGAGAAGAACUUAGAUGAGCUGCUUGCUUGAUAUGACAGUCCGAGGAUAUACGCACAAGGUAGCGGUGAAAUAAAUUAUGAGUUUGUUGUUGCGCUAACGGGAGGCGAAAUUAGGACUUGUAAUAAGAGGAAAGGCGGACACAGUUAAGCUCCAAAAAACAGGACUUGGCGAAAUUAGGACUUGGCGGACACCUGCCGCUAGUUCUCGCGCGAAAGAAAAGAUCUCUUUUUUCUAUACCUUUUCAGUAGACCAUAAGAGGGGAAAAUGAUAGGUGAGUUUCUCUAUCCUUAUGAAAUUAAGGAAAUAGGAUUCCACUGCCAAUCUCUCUUUCUCCUAUACCAACUCUGUACUAGUUAAGAAGAGAAUACUUCAUUGAAGAAGUGGGAAGAAUUAAGGAACUAUCGAACAGGCUAUCGAACUGGAAUGGGAUGAAUUCAGAUAGAAACCCCGGAAUACUUUAUUUAAGAAAUGGGAAGAAUUCGGGCCAAGACACUCGGGCCAAGGGCAAAGCAACGGCGCAAGCCGCUGCGCGGCAGCAACAGAAUAGAUAUGUUAUAGCCAGUUAUUAACAAGUCCUGUGUUCGCGUUCCGCGGCAGUUGUUUGGCAAUAAGAAACAACAAAUAAAUAUACUAUAUGUUGUUAUUACUCCAGAUGUGUUCGGUGACGCGGUAGCGAGCCCUCACCGGUUUCAGUCUUAUAGUUAGUAGUUGCUUGGCCCUUACUUGUUAGAUGGAGUCUCCACCUCUCCCCACGGCCGCUAAGUCUGAUUCCUAUACUAAUAAGGAUCACACUACUGCUAAAAAGAAGUGAGCUAUUGACCGAACAGGCUAUGACUACUACUUUAGAAGACCUUAACUCAAAACUAGGAACCGCUCACUGCUCUAUCGGAAUGAAACUAGUUCUUAUGAGAAUGAUACACUGUCCACUACGACUCGAACAUUCCCCACAACAAUAAGAGAAUGUAACGGGGGCUAACAGGACUUCAACAAGAAACUUGGGAUUGAGCUAGUUCGGGCAAGGCUUAUACUGUUACUCAAAAGAGUCGAACAAACCAACCAACUAAUAGGCCAUAUGCUCAAGUUAGAGUAUGACUUUCGGUAUGUAUGAUUUUCGCUUAUAUUAACUAUAUGGAUUCAUUAUUCUUUUCACUUAUACUUAUCAUAUUCUAUUUCUAUUCUUUUUAUGGGCAGUUCGAUUAUAUAACCUAGGUUCAAAAGCAGCUCUACUUUGGAUCUUCUUAAUUGUAUCAAUGGAACAGCUCUACUUUGGAUCUUAAUUGGCGCAAUGGAACGCUACGACUUUUUCUUGGAAUUAGGUGAAACAACAGCUCUACUUUUGGAACUCUUAUUUGAGGCUGUUUGUAUGGGUGCGAUGUACCUUCUAUGCACGACCGACCGCCCGUUGACUGAUCUCAUAUUACCACCAAGAUCGAUGCACAUGUGCCUACGCCAUUGUCUGUGUGUGAUGCGCCAAUCUCCUCUGUCUUCUUUUCUUGGUGUGAGUCAGGGAAUAGCUUGUGUUACGCGAUUCGAGAUAUCGUUUUUCUACUACAAAUACAAAUUCCAUUCUAGUAAGAGAACCCAUGUUUUCCGCCUAUAAGGUUCUAGAGGGAAGAUCGAGUUCGUAAAUCCAAAUAAGAAUGAAAGGUAGGAUAAGUAGAAUAGGGCAUGGUAUGAUCCAGCACUGCUAGCGCAUCUAGUCAUAUACUAAUAUUUGAGUCAGCAUCAGAGUAGCACUGAGUAGUCACAGAAUGCAUGGUCCCCCGCCCAGGUCAAAGUAGGGAAUGCAAUUCCUCGGUCUACGAAUGGAAGUUGAAACUUGGACACGAGAAUCAAACUCAUUACUGAAAUACUGGAUCUUACUAGAAUCCAGAAUUGGACUAGUGCUUCUAAGACCAGAGCUGCUGCUUACUAGAAUGAAAACUCAAAAGAACGACUCACUCUUGACUUGCACUCUCCCAAACGCCCCCCAGAUUACGUAUAUCUUAACUCGAUAUCAAACUCAAACUCAUGUCUAUACGCCUUACUUUGCUAGGCACCGACUUCUACUUGUUCCUAAGAGUCUCACUUGCUAACUGGCAUUCCAUAUCCCAUCCUCGAACUACUUAUUUGCAUUCUAUAACAAUAACUUUGGAGCCUUACUUCCAGGGGAUAAAGUACUUGAGACUUCUUUCUUGCUUCCUGACUUCUGAGAUUGAGCCUGACGUUACUUGAUCUCAGGCCAACUACCUUUGUUUUCAUUCCAUUCCAUGAGAGACGAACCUAGAUCUGUCACUACAAACUAUCAGACAACAGCUCGAAACAAAGAUUAACCACCUACCUAAAAAGACCUUCACUAAAAAGAAAGAAGCUAACUCACUUGGGUUAGUAUACCUUUCCUGUCCCUGGGUCUCCCGCUCCCCAAUUGAAAACUUGACCACCCUUCUCUUAUUCUACAACACCUGACUCGCAUUCUGCCUACCCGGGGCCAAAACCCUUGCUUGACUUUAUCUCAGUCCGCCUUUACUAACAACCAUGCUUACUACCUUUGCUAUAAAACAAUAACUCCCGUCUACGCGCCUGUGACUACUAUACUACCAAUAAGACUGAAACUACCUACUUCAAUGCCUAGGUUGUCCCUUCCCAGCCUGCCCAUUAGUAAGAAACCAAUGUCACCUAGAUAAGAAACCAAUCUAAACUAGAUAAGAAACCAAUCUAAACCGGGCUUACCUUACUAGCUCUAAUCCUUACUUUAGCUUACCUUACUAGCUCUCAUCCUGACUUUUGACUGGCAUAUUAGCCUUUCCGUACUAAACUCAUUACUGUAGUUCGCCUACGAUCCUCCUACUAGAAACUCUUAGAUUGAAACUGCCGCUUAUCACUCUUUAGCUCCUGUAUCUCUGCCUAGCUAUCAAACGAAAACUCCGACUUCCGAGGCUAAACCCACAGCUAACAAGGCUAUAUAGCUUGAAACCAGGGCUUUCACCGCUGCUGAGGGCUGCUAACUCUCAUUCUUUAACCACUGACCUCGAAGCACCAAGUAACUGCUAAUGUGUAGCGGUAGCUUCCCCCUAAAGCCCUAACGACGAUUCUGAUUACCCUGCCAAUUAGUAUGCCUUUACUUGUUUUGAUUCUUCAAACGACAAUUAUUAGGCUGUGCCUCUUUGCUUUCAUUCCCGCACUUCUUAGGGGAAGUCUACCACCUUGCCAUCCAUAGAAGAGAGCCUUACUUUGAAUGUACCUGGGCCUUGCCUUACUGACCUGGAACCUUGCUUUGUAGCUUCAAAAUACCUCUCCUUUUCUUGGUUCUGACUUUCCUGGUUCUCCGCCUGUCACCCUAGGGGCAUCUAUUAGAAUUACCUUUCUCAAUUGGUCUGCCCUUACGGAAACUCAUUCUAUUGCUAUUGUUAAAGAAAGCAACAGUGAAGUAGAAGAAUGAAAAGAACAAGUAUCAGAAAAGAACUCAUUUGCUUAUAAUAAAAGAAGUAGACCUAGCAGUCCAAACCUAACUUACUACCCUAUCGCUCCUGCCCCAAAGUAUUACUUGCCUAGCCCUCAUUCCAAUACUAGCAGUAGCUGUUUCAGUUUCAAGAUCCGAAGCCUUAUCAAAAGGAGUUGGCUAAAGUCCAGGUCUAGGUAAGGAUGCUACCUGUGCUACUACUGCCGGGCAAAAGUGUGCUACCGGGCGAAAGUCUGCUACCAGUGAUCGUUUAAUACCGAGACCAAGUUGAAGUAAGUGUUAUCCUUUUGAAAGAGAAGAUAUCAUUUAGUACGGGGCAAGCAGCCGACAAGCAGGAAAGAUCCCGAAAUGGAACUUUAUAGGAGCGGCGAGUGGGACAAUAAGUGACGUUACCUACUUCCGGCGUUUCACCCAGGACUUGUGCAUGUCAACUCAACUACUUGGAAUUGAUCGAGCGAGUAUAGAUUGGAGUCAACAAGCCUACUUCCCUUUCUUUUGCUUCAAAACAAAGACCAGACUUUCCACUUCAAUAAUGAAUAUCGGCUUUGUAACUCCCGAAAACAGGACUUGCACAAGGUACUUUUUAGCAUCAGCUUCAGCAGUUUCUAAUUCUGUCUGAUCUUCUUUCUUUAGACGAUGAAAGUCAAGCACUAUAAGAGAAGAGUCAAAGUCAAUAGCUCUCGUAGACUUAACGAGCACCGGCACUCGAACCUCUUUCGCAGACAAAUAAACAAGACUGGAAGAAGUACCGACAUAAGCACCGGUAUCGGCGUAAAGACAUCUGACAAUUGAACUGCCUCUGAUCGCCACCCCCGAUCUGAAUGAUUAUCCUUCUUUCUAUACCAGUUGGAUCUUCCGUUGGGCAUUCAAAAAGAGAUUCUUCCCGAACUAGACUUGGACCACACCUCGCAUCAAAGCUUUUAAGCGGAAGUCUUGGCCAGUCCGUUCCCGGGUAAUAGUAAUAGUCAGAACGAAGAGUUAGAACUAUAAGAUUAGGCUUCUAGUAGAGUAAGCGCAGACGGCACAGUUCCUUCUUUCAUUUUUCAAUAGUGGAGUUUUUGAAAGAAAUAGUAUGCGCAGACGAGCCGGCACCGGUCUUUAUGUUGGGUUGGGCUUUUCUUUUGCCUACCCCAGCUCUAUCCAUAGCAACUACGGGGAAUAAGUCUAUCAGCGACCUUCCACUUAUGAUUCACCAACUUUCCUUUUGGAUUUCUACUUCACAAUAUACAAACAGCUUUUAUGAAACAUCUGGUCUUGGAGAGCCCUUCCACCUUAAUAUGAGUUCUUUCCACUUAUUAAUGCGCCUUUCAAGAUACAUUUCUAGAUGGAUUGCCCACCGAAAGUUCCAUAUAUAAAGGCUAAAGGGUUGUCAUCGACGUUGACAAAAGAGCCUCCUAAGGUUGGUAGUUGGUUUCUUUUAGUUUCAAGCAGAGCUCGGGCUUCUUCCGGAGGGCAGCUAUAAGACCUUUCCUUUCCCCUCUCAGCCGAGCGAUGUGUAGCAAGUGUCUUUCUUGCCUUUCUGAUUUCAUGUUUCCCCACAUUCACACGGUCUUGGAACAUGGUGAAUGCUACAUAUAGAAAACAACAAAGAGUAAUCAAAUACCUGAGUCUAGCUCCCUUACUACUUACAAAUAAUGGGAAAGAAGAAAUGGGUAGAGCAACAUUCUGCACUGACCGUCAAGACGUGAGAAUUCAUGAUUGCGCCAGCCAAUUAGUCAUCUUCAUAUUAUCAUGUGCUAAUGGUUGGGGGAACACCCAAGCUUUCUCGAUCAAUAUAGCAGUCAAAUUUCCCCUCUCCCCGAUCCAUGCUGUCUUUAGAAGCCCUUAUGCCGACCCCGUACUGAGGAGUCUGCAUUUCAGAACCAGCAGCUAUCUCCAAACCUUACCCUCGAAAGAAUUUAGUGGUUACGGGAUCCUCCAGUGGGUCAGGUCCAAAACUCUCUUUCCCUACGGAUUUAAGGUACGGGGAAUCUGGAUUAUUAGCCCUAUGAAUCUAUGAUUUCUUAUUAGUAGAGCACUAUGAAUUGAAUCUAUGAUUUCUUAUUAGUGGAGCACUAUGAAUCUAUGAUUUCGCGCACCCACCCAGGCACUGGAGAAGGCUUAUGAUUUGUGGAAGGAUCACGGCACUGGAGAAGGCUUAUGAUUUUGAAGGAUCACCUCAACCUAGAGUAGCAACAUUCUGAUAUAUCCCUAAAACUAACAAAAAAACAUGGUUAUCCUCGUUCUAACCCGAAUCCUACUUCUUUCUUUCUUUCCAUGGAAGAUUGGAAAUUUCGAAUUCGGAAGGCGGGGUACUGGGUACUUUAGGAUUUGUUCUUUGAAGAAAGCCGAAAAGACAGAACUUUCCUCGGAAAUAGUAGGCUGCUUUUGUGCUUUUUUCGGAUAGCUUAGCUUGUGAGAUACUCCGAGAGCUCUCGAAUAGGAGAGAAAAGAAAGCUUGUUGCCCAUUGUAAAAGCUUGAACACUUGCCAGCUAUAGGAUAUACUCAAAUGGGAGAAGAGAAUACAGAUAGAGGGAUUGAGUUACUGGCCCAUAGACAGAGACUCCAUACCUAGCAUACAUACCUAUUUAUUAGUCCGUAGCUUAGGACUUGAAGAAAUCAAAGAGCUAGAUUCGCAACUGCUACGCCAACGGAUUCUAUUCCCACAGCAUCUAAGCUUUCUCCCCUUGGCCAGCUUGAAAACACACUUUGGAUGCAAAAAAGAAACUAACAACUUACACUGCUACUCUAAAAGUAAGGGAUAUGUGAGAAGCUAUUGACUCUGGAAUCUUAGGUGGGCCGGUUAUUUAGAUAUAUUGACUAUAGGGCUAUUUCAUAGGGGUUUCUCUUUCGUCAAUCUUACGCGCAACCAAUUCUCUUGUCUGUAACCCUCUAUCAAUGCACCCUAUGUGAAACUAGUAAAGGAACUCUUUAUACCAUGGAUGUCGGGAACCAUCAUUCAGAUGGAUUCACCCACACCUCGCUUUUCGGCUAAAGUGUUAUUACCAGAACCUAAAGCGGCUCUCGCGGGUAUUAACUUAGCUGCCCUGCCAUUAUUGGUAUUCAUGGGAGUGCUAGACCAUACAAGGUUAUUAAACAUAUUCCAUUGCUAGGACCAUACUAGGUUAUUAAACAUCUUCCAUUGCUAGACCCGGCCUAAUAGGUACUUCUACUUUCUUACCAGGAUAGGAUCAUCAUUAGUAUUAGUACCAUCCCCACUUGCCUAAACAAAAGCAUUUAGAAAGGCUAUAAAACGAACAAAGGAACUGGCCUUAUAGCAGAAGCGAUACUUGCGCUUGCCCCUCUUUGCCUACUUGCUUGCCGGAUCCUGAGCUAGCUUACUUCCUUUAUUCUCUUCUUUAGCCUAUUAGGGGAUCAUCAAUAUGCAAUACUCCUUCCCCAGCCAGCAAUAGUCAUUCCUGACCUGGAAAUGGAUAUGGGCGCUGCGAGCUUGAAAGAGUAGGCAUCAAAAUCUCACUCCUAAGAAUCAAUUGGUGAAACUGGCCCAUAGUAAGACUUAUACUAGAGCACGCACCUCUAUUUUAGACUCCCUCCUUCCUUUAUCCCCCAUUCUUUUACAUAAACCUUCCUUUAUUCCCCAUUCUUUUACAUAAAUGAAGUAAUAAUAAAGAGAUAGACUUAUGGGAAUUAAGUAAUAAUAAAGAGAUAGACUUAUGGGGACGGUGAAGCAGAUACUUAUUUCUUCCAUAGGCGCAGGAAAUCCACACCAAAAUCCAGUAAUUUGCUCAUUCACUUACGAGAAGGAAAGCUACUCGGUUGAGAAUCUUCAGAGGAACUCACUAACCUGGCCCGAGAGUCAAAAAAGGAACUCCCACGAUAUGGUAACACUGCGCUCGAAGUCAGGAUCAAUAUGUGAGAGGCAGGGAAAAAGAGUAUCUGGACUUUCCUUAAACUGGCACCGAGGAAACCCUCUUAUUAUUUACAUUCCUUGCCCGGUGAUAGAACUUUCAUUAUUAUGUAUCUUCUGUUUACCUUGGAGUUGAAUUCUAUUCUGCUAAAUACAGAGAGAGUUCCAGAAGUAGGAGCAUAAUCAAGAUCUUCAGCCGAAUCGAAAGAUUCCAUUCCAUGGUUUACUUCAGCCUUAAUUAAGUAUCCAGGUCCUGUUAUAGUUGUUGGCUUAGAGUCUCUUUCUGUUCGCCCAGUUCAAGAUCCUAUUGAAUAAGAAGUGAAGCGGGAGAAGGAUAAGUUCGAGUGUUGUCUACUUGUUCUGUUGAAGAAUCAUCAUAAAGUCACAGGAUUUGGAAGCCCUAAGUGAAUGAGUAGAGUCUCGUAGAAACCCAGUAAUUAGAGAAUCAGAGGAAUCUUAAGGAGAAGGGGCCGAAUCCGAAUCCAAAGAUUCAAUAAAAGGUUGACAAGGCAAAAAGGGAAAGUUAGCUGCUCAAUUGCUAUUCGUAUAUUAGGAUGUGCAUCAAUUCUGUUAAGAAAUUUAUGGUUAACUUGACUUUAGCUCUCCAGAAUCAAUUCCUUCCUGAUGCACGAUAUCUUCCUAAAAUAAGUAUCUUAACGGUGCGAGUAGCUACGUUGCUUGUCUGCUUGGCCCGUUAGCGAGUUAGCACUUCCAUUCUAUUCCAAAGAUGGAUCUUCCGCAGGUCAUUUUAUUCCAAAGAUAUAGGUUUAGGAAGUAGAGUUCCAGUUCGUUCUUAUCUUAGCUAUGUCGAACAGAGGUCUGACUAAGCAAUCUCCCUACUGCAUAGAUUCCAUUGGGUAUAUUGGCAUAACAUAAGAAGAUGAAAUUACCUAUUGGUAUACUUCCAAAUAUCCCGAUUUAUUGUAAUGGUUGUUAAUGCUUGACAGAGGUCUUGGCUUCUAUAGAAUUAAGUAACAACACCAGAAACCAUAAAGAAAGAACACGCUACAAAGCUCAAAGAAAGGGGCUUCCCACUCACAAUAGGGAUAGCUGGAUCCGGGUUAGAAGCAACUGAAUUAGAGAAAAAAAGCUGUAUUAAGAGAAUCAGUAGCGCCGAGCCGAGAGAAUCUUUAGCACAUCUAUAACGCGAAAAACAGGACUCGUUUAAGAGAAUCGACUCUCUUUUCUCAGCGGGUCCAUGCUAUUAUUGCUCUAGAGCAUCUGGUAUAUAAGGUAGUAAACACACAGCACCCCUUCCCUUUAGCUUAGAGUCAAGGAAAACAUCAAUGAAAACCACUGCAAACUCGUAGAACUCCGAUAGGUACCUAACAACCCGACACCAAACUAUGGAUUUGAUUCAGUAUAUCGUCUUUUGUCUCCUUUCCUCGCACCCCAAGAGUAUAGUAUAGUUUACUUUAAAGCACAGCUCAUUCUUGAGUAUAGUUGGCACAGCUCAUUCUUGAGUUUAGUAGAGUGGCACUUUCCUCAAACUGGAACAAUACUAUCAUCUGGAACUAUACUUACAUAUCAAGCUUCCUAACCUUAUCCUACUUUUUAUUGGCUUCCAUCUAAAACGAAACUGUAAAAAACCUCCACUGGACUAAAAGGAGUACCUUCAAUUAGAAAUUCCACUAAGCAAGAAACAAACAGCCCCGCCCUGACUCUAAGUAAGAGAAUCCAUCUAGCACAUGAGAGAAAAGAGUCACCUAACCUACUAACUCAUUUAUAGCUUUUUUAGGGGAAUUUGCCUAACGCGCCACUCACUCGAUGAAGACCCAGCUCCCGCUUUUCAGAUCGAGUCGAUGUCUACUUUCCAUCUUCCGCUUAUAAUCCAUCUCUUGAUCCAGCAUAUUAUUGAGCCUCUGAUUCUAUAGCGGACAAUCCUUACUUUGCUCCAGAUCUUUGUAAGGCUUCCUCUUAUCUACCGACUUGGAGCUACUGCAUCAAACUGUUAUUUAGUUAUGAAUUUGUCCGGGUAGUCCUAGUAGGAAAUUCCAUUCUGGUAGUCCUAGUAGUCAAUUCCAUUCAGAAUAAGGGGACUCAAUAGCACAUAUUGAAAUAGAAUAGGUAACCUUCCAACCAUUAACUCUUUAUCGCCAACACUGUAGGGGCUCUGUCAAGGAGAGGACUCGAAAAGGAAUCACAUAAACUUAAUGUCCCCGCUCCAGCUAAUUAGAGAGGUUGUGUUAUUGAGGUCGGGUCGGGUGCGAGUUAAGCUAUAGGGUAAGUUCUCAAGUCAGGUUAUAACCGAAAUCAGUAACAAUCAGUCAAAUCGGUCAUAGCUAAAUCUCAAUUAAGAGUGAGAGAGAGGCUUUGUUGCGAGGUCGGCAAGGGGACAGCCAAUCAUUGAAUGCGCUAGAUCUAUCUCAAUUGCUAUAGUAUUCAUUUAUCUAUGAUAACCCUCAGGCUCUCCCGCCAAUGAUUAUGUUUCUUCUGUUUAAACUGCAGUUGAAGGCUAAUUGUGCUGUUUAUUCCGAUAUACUCGAUUCACACUUUAGAACUACUGAGCAUACUCUACUUAAACACUCGAUUCAUUUGGAAUUCUCUCUUAUCUCCAGAAAGAAAGUGGAGUCGGAACCCCUGGGAAACUUCCUGCCCAGGACUUAGAGAACUAUCUUGUUGCUUUGCCCUAUCGAAGAGCGGAGAUUGUGAUUCCAUCUAAAGAGCUCACUAUUUCAAGGUUUAUUGCUAUCAUUCCAUACUCCAUCUUUUUAUUGUCCCCGUUUGAGUAUGCCGCUCAGUAGUCCCUUACCUUAGUAGGAGGGAAAGUCAAAGGAAAGGAGGAUUAAUUCACGGAUGCCCUGCCCCUAGCCCUACCAUGGAAGAAGGAUUCUAUAGAGCCGCCCUAUUGAGAAAAACAAUAUGAGCCUAAGGCCAAGGAGGACUCAAUACCAUAAGAAUCAAAGAGCUAAAAAAAGAGAAAGUAGAGCGCAAAGGAAAGAAAAAGGUGAACUGGAGCUCCAACUGGUUUAGCUUAAGACUAGAGAGGACUCGGCUGGACCCCUUUGUUAUAUUCAUUGUAUGGGGACUUACUGUGCUCUUAUUUACUUAUCUAUUGUAUUGUAUAGACAGUGUUCUCUUAUUUACUUAUUCAUUGUAUGGACGGACGUGACUGUACUUCUUAUGGACUUACUCAUUGUAUGGACUGUGCGUGCCCUAUUAUUUAGAUUCUCAUAGUUAUCUCAUUCUUAUUACCCUCUCAUCAGUUAUUCUCUCGUAUGUAUCUUGUCCCGGGUACAGCUCCCUAACCUGCUCUUUCAACUCCAUUCAGCCAAGCAGACAAGUAGGCAAGUCAAAGAAAUUAGGGUUGACUGCCCCUUAUAGUACUAUAGUGAGAAUUCCGGUAUGAGGUAUAGUAGCCUUAGUUAGCUGAGAUUGAGUAUUGAUUGGCUUUACCGUGGUCUCCAAGCAUUAAGGUUCAGGUAAGGCUUAAGAGGAAGUAAGGAUGCCCGGCAGGAAUUUCAGGUGUUGGAUCUAAGCCUUAGAGUGGAGAUGCGCAAUUGGAUAAAGAAUAGCUAGAAUUAGAUUAAGGAAUGGCAGAUCAAUAGGGAGUCUCUAAAGUCUUCUUUCCCAGUUGAAGUAGUCGAAGUACUUUUUGAUUCUAUCAGUUAGCAGCUCAAUUACAUCGACCCUGUUCCGAGUUGAGUUCACUGAGUUUCAUUGAAUUCCUGGGUCUGUAGUAGUUGCUUGGCCCUUCCCGCUUAUCUAUCUUACAAAAGAUGCAAUUUGUUCUGAGGCGUUAAGUUAUGCCUGUUCUUGUUUAAGAAGCCGUUCCGAAUUGACUUAAUAAGAUGCUUUAAGAGAAUCAGCAGCAGCCCCCAUAAGAUGCUUUAAGAGAAUCAGCAGCAGCCCCCGAAAACAGAGGACUUACUCCAGGCGAAAACGAAACAGGUUUUGUGUCUUUACUUGUAUCUACACCACAUGUGAAAGAUAGAGAUAGAUUCAAUUCAUCAAGAAGAUCCUCAGCGCUCGAAACUGCUUAUUUGAAUGUUUUCCUCGUCUAAACAAGUCCUGUUGCUUCUGUCUAUAAGUCUGCAAGUAAAGUAGAAAGUCCGCUUACAGCUAGAUUCUUUCAUUCAUAUUACAGCUAGAUUCUUUCAUCUAUUAUCUCAUAUGCGAGGAUUUGAUUAAAGGGGCUCAGUCUAACAGGCCCAACUCUGCCUUGUUUGUGGUUUCCUGCAAGUUAAGUAGAAAGUAGAGUAUCUCGUGUAAGUAUAUCGUUUGAACCCUUAUAGUUGUAUAGUAGCUCCCGUUAGCGAGUUAUGCCGACGCUUCUAUCUAUGAUUACACAAUAACUCCACGAAACUACAAGGACUGUAAGCGCCAAGAGUUUGCCUUUUGCUAAGUUCCACUCAUCAAAUGUGGGCACCCGCAUCUUCACUGAACCGACCCAAACUUGACUACUCGGGAAGGUAAAGCACCCGAACUCAUGAACUUUCUGAACUGACAACACAAUAGAACCUCUCUCCACGACACCGCGCAUCAAUUGGACGACUUAGAUCACUUAGCGCUUCUAUAGGAGAUGAACUAAAGCCAACUCCUCUCUCGUAGCACCUAGCAAAGACUCAAUCUUUCCUCUUCUCUUGCCUCUUCUCUUGUAUUGCCUCUGAUCUCGUAGACCUAACUAACCCGGCUUCCGCUCUUUAGAACUCUACUUUCCUGUCAUUGCUACUGACGACUUAUCUAUAUCUUUCUUCGUAUUAAAGAAGUAAGUAACCAACCAUAGGCUCUUUCUCCAAAGUCAUCACCUUCCAAUAAGCAGUUGGAUAGACCCACAAGCAAUUGCAUGUAUUCGACAUUAGUAUAAGCCAACUCCGUAAGGCAAGAAAGAAAGAAAGUAGAGGUGGGAAGGAAAGAUCAUCUGCAGUACGCGGGUAGGGUCAUAGUGUUCUCUGUUGCUGUAGAAAGAUAAUGAGCAAGCCCAGACUCAUAGGUUAGGGCGUGAGGGAAGGAAUGAACAAAAUGUGCUCCGUUCUGAAGGACACUUUCUCCUUUCCCAUAGUGAUAGUAAUGACCUCCUUUCCCAUAGUGAUAGUAAUGACCUCUUAAGAUAGAAUGACUGAGUAUAAAAGGUAAGGUAAGGAAAUCCCAUCUCCUCUGUAUUCCAAUUGAAAAGCAGGUCUUAAGCCAGCAUUGAGUUCCUCCGGACUAAAGGAUUACUGUAGCUUUCUUUACAUUCUCGUAAGCACAACCAAACUAUUCCCAUUCCUUAAGCUCGCUAGCAUACCGUCUUUCUAGCUUGAAUAGUGAAAAACGAGCAUCUAUCUUUGUAAAGAGAAAGGCUCCUCCUGAUCUUGGGAAGAAGAAUCAAAGUAGAGCGAUAUGCCCCAAAUAGUCCGUUAGAAUGAGUCAAUGGAAUCGUCUCGGAUCUUCUCUGGCUACAACUACUGAUGAAACUAAACUAAACUACUACUCGUUUGGGCAAGAACUAGACUUUCCACGCCUACCUCGUCUCUUUGAACUCCCCCUCGCAACUUUGAGCUAGAGCACCAACAACUGGAUUACCAGGAACUUCACCUUACCCAGUAGCAGUGAAAUCUCAUAACAGUACUAUCGGGAUGAAACCAGCUCUGACCCUUAAACUUGUAGUUUCGUAGUGACUUUCUCCUUGUAUUGACUGGAAAGAAGAGAACAGAUGAGCCACAGGUAGAUCAGCAGAAUCACUAGACGUUACUCGCCCGCAAUCUCAUAAGGGAUCUUUUCUUCUUACUAACUCUCUUGCUCUGCUCUUGACGAGACUCCGGUCUUAGAAUUAUCUACCCUGGCUAAUGAAUCUGUUUACUCUACCAAGUCCGCGAGAGCUAAGCCUCUGAUUCCUUACCUGCUCUUGCAACUGCUACUACUGAUUCAUUCCCAUUUGACUAAUUCCGAGUGGUGUGGAGAUAUAGGUUAUAAUGUUCGAGGCUUUGAUGCGCUAAGUUAAUGCCCAGUUACAGUUUACAGUGGAGAAUUGCCUGUUACAAAAGAAGAAUCAGAAGAUGAACUAAUACAGGAAGAAUGAAAUUGACUACCUAAUGAAAAUGAAUAAGACAAGUAAGUAAGUAUUAGACUCCUUGAAAGUAGCGAGGGUUGGCAGUUAGGAAUAAAUCCAGUCUAGAAACUCCCUUCCGAGGAAGCCGGGGAAGGUAAUAAGAAAGUACAGCCUUUGAGGCCUGGCGAGGUAUCUUCACUACUUUUCGGGUCCUGGCUAGCUGUUAGGGGAAGAAAUGUAGUCCAGGCCCAGACUCAGUGGAAGGAGAAUCCGCAUCAGUGGUUGUAGCCAGAGGAGAGUUAGAUUAGUAUAGGAGUCAGAGCCAGAGCAGAGCCAGCAGCUUGUUUCCUUCUUAUUAGUAGUGGUAGAUAGGUCGGGUCGGGAAGCAGUUUAGGAGGUGGUCAAGUAGGAGUGGAAAGGAAGCCUUAGUGAGCUCCUAGGGGCAGAAUCCAAUCUCCAGGAAUAAGCUUGAUAAGCUGUUUCAAGAGAGGCACAGGAUCUGAAGAAUCAAUUCCUUCUGCUGAAGCGCGGUGAAGUGUAGCUCUUGGGGAAUCCAUCAAGUCCAGGACCUAUAUAGGUAGGAAAAAGGGAGUUCCUGAGUGAAAGGGAAUAUUCUUGCAAUUGAGUCCGGUCGAAAUGCAAAGUAAGAGGAAAUCCACUUUCUGUAUUUGAUCCUUACCUUACUUAGCUCCCUUCCUUCUUUCUGUAUUUGAUCCUGACUUUACUUAGCUCCCUUCCUUCUUUCUUUCUACCCUUAAUGAAACAUUAGGAACAAGACUACAACUGCGGAGGGAGUUUCAAGAGCAAGUCCAUUUGCUUAUUCUGCUGACUCACCCCCUACUUCAAAGAACGAUUUUUCUGCUGACUCACUACAAUAAGAACUAAUUGAUGCAGCUUCCUUAGUUUACUUAACUUAAUAAUAUCAUCUAAGUGAAGCACCCAUCCCUAAGCAGCUAUAUACUUGGCUAAUGCUAUAGUCUUGUGCAACACCACUAACACGCGCAACACCACUAACACACCCCGAAACUAAAGAAUAUCAUUGAGUGCCACACAUGAUAGAAACAUAGUAAUAACAUCAUAUCAUACUUAUUGCUUAUAGAAACAUAGUAAUAACAUCAUAUCAUACUUAUUGCUUAUAGAAGAUAGGCCAAAGCUUGUUCUGUUGCUUAUAGAAGAUGGGCACCCCUUGCCUUGAAAGUCCAAGAAUAUGAUAUAAGAGGGUCCUUGAAAGCCAAAGAAUAUCGACACCUGCCACUAUAACCACUAUAACCAAUAUAAUAACCACUAUAACCACUAUCACUAUAAGAAUUAGCUCACUUUAUAGGGCUUGUUUUAUUUAGUGCAAGAGAAUGUGGGUUUCAUUUAGUGCAAGAGAAUGUGGGCACAGUGGAAAAAGAAAGGAAAGGGUAGAUAUAGAUACAUUGCACUGACAUAUAUGAUGAUCUCAGUAUAGAUAUAUGAUGAUCUCAGUAUAGUAAGUAGUAACGGCACUCUUGAUUCUAAGCAUACUCCUUAUUCUAUGCUCUAAAACUAUCUAAGCAAACUUUCUAAGCAAACUAUCUAAGCACACUCCUGUCCUAAUUAUAAGUUAGUUAGUUCAAAACUCCUUCUUCCCCCUUGCGCUUACGCUUAUUGUUGUUCGGGGCACUAGCACUUAUUCGAGUUCUGUUUGCACGUUAGCGAAUUCUACUUGUGUUCCUUUUUUUGUAAGAAUAUCUUAUUUAUUGGCAGCUUCGCCCUAUCUAUACAAUCAAUAUGGUGAGUACUCUCUUUAUUGGCAGCUUCGCCCUAUACAGCGUAGGACAGAUACACCGUUCUCACUUAUGGAAUUUCUAGAGACACCGUUCUCACUUAUUUCUACUGUGUAGGACGGAGACACUACUAUUGCGUAGGACAGAGACACUACUAUCCCUCACUUUACUAACUCACGUUAGCCCUUGCUUGCUUGUUUUAGUUUCACACCCCUAUACAACUCUAUGCUUACAGCUUGUUCGUUCCCUUGCUUUAAUGAUUUUCUUAGUUUACCCAUUAUGUCAUUCAGGCCUAACCUCCGUCAGUGUAAUUCCCAAUAUGAGGCUUAAGAAAGAUAGACUGCUUAGGCUUAAGAAAGAGAGAACACCUGCUUAAGGCAGACGAACCUAUAAACAUCUUACAUGCAGGCCGGAGGCAUAGUUUAGAGAAUAUAGAUGUAGUUUCAAGACGAGAGAUAUAGUUUAGAGAAUAUGGAUGUAGUUUAGAGACGAGAGGUGGAGACGAGAGAUGUUGUUAGGAUAGCUAUUUACGGGUGGUACCUAUUUCUUAGAGGGUAUAGCGAGAUAGUCUAGCGAAAGUUUAGGGUGAACUCACUAACGCUAGGCAGGCAGCCGAACCCUGAACAAGAGUCAAUCAAUUUGAUUGUUCCAUCUCUGAACAAGAGUCAAUUCUGUUUCUUGUUCCCUCCUUUUUGAAUGAGAAUCCAACUAGGAGGAAUUCCAUCAGUGUCGAGUCGAGUGUUUACUGUGAAAUCGGUUCUUCAAGCCUCAUCUCCUAUCUUUUCUCAUGCCCACGUAGACUAUGCGGUGUGUGAAGCAUCUCUGGACUCAGUUUGCGUGUCUCUUUACUCUGUUGUGUGCUUAUAUUCCUUUUGAAGCUCGGUUCGGUUCUGAAAGUGGAGUUGAAUCGUGUGGUUCAGUUGAAAGAGAGGAAGCUGUAGUAGAUUCAAAGUAAGGAUCCUGGAUGAAGUGACUAUAUAACAAUAUAUAGUAUUUGUGUGCACUAGAUCAGGCUCCCUCCCCAAGUAGGACUUUGAUUAUUGUACUUACUAUUAUAAGCCUUAUACUAACUUACAUCAUACCAUUAGUAUCAGCCAACAAAGCCAACUACUCUACCUCAAUUCGAACUUGUAUAUUUGUCCGUGCUUGUAGAAGCCCUUGUUACAUCCUUUACAGUAGUCAUUUCUGCCUUUAUUUACUGUCUCUCAAACUUCAAACUCCGGGUUUGAGUCUUGCUUGUAAGUGUGAGCUUGCCUUGCAUUCUAUAUCUCUUGUUUAAAACGGACCCUCCUUGCUUCGUUCCUGCAUUGGGAGUUUGCCCCAGCUACACUCUUUCGAUCCGGAUCUUCGCUCUACUAUAUCUUAAGCUAGCACUCCGGCGCAUCAGGCUUACUUUCAAACCAUCUCUCUCCUCAAAACAAACCCGUUUCUUAGCCAACUGAGCAACUAAUAUCACUCUGUAGCUCCCCUGCGCUUAGUCUUACUUUAAUAGCGAGCAUUCUCCCUAUCCCUUUGCCUUAACUCUUUAGUUCGGAGAUCCACUAGGCUUACUAUCUUGACUUUGCUUCUAGGACUACAGAUAUGGAUCCUUUAACAAUAGUAAAUAGGAGAAAGGAGCUACUGACAGGCAGACCUUCCCUACUAACUAUUAGAAUCGAACACUACCAAAAAGAAGAGAACCAAAAGUCAGACUGAAACAAAGAACUAGGACUUACCCCGCUAACUGGGAAUACGCUCCUGCCACGUGAAUCAAACUCCGCGGUAGAAGCAUCAAACUGUAGAGGAGUACCCGAGCCCGAACCUUGCUUUUCACACUUCCACUAUGGUAUCUCUUUCUUUUACUCCGGGUACGAUGUAGUACAUCUACUAUAUUAAUAGGAAUAACCUAAUAGGACUAGAGAGUAUGGGUAUGAUCUAAAGCUCAGUAAUAGUAAUAUCAUAAUAGUAAUUAAUAUAUAAUGAUUGUUUCCAGAGCGUAGUAAGAGAAUCAUUGGUGAAUUUGAACUAAACAGUAAAUCGAAGGAAUAAGUCAAAGAAUACGAGUUAGGAGCGGGCAAAGUUCACUACAGAUUUGAGGGCAAUAGUCUAAGUUUAAGAUAGAGGAAAGUUGGACUCGAGCUAACAGGCGCGAUGUGAGAUCUGUGGUUGAAUUACCAGUUGGGAGCUACAGCGUUGACAGUAGUGCAAUUCCUUAUUAAAAGCUUAAUGCUGAGAAUCAGUAGUCAUAGGCUAAGAGAAGGAGAUACUAAAACAUAGGCAUUGCGUGGACAACUACAAGAGCGAGCCCGAGGCAAGUAAUAAUAAAUGAAUGUCAAGUCGGAGUCAAAAUCCACCCCCAAAGUGAGGAUACAGUGAGGAGGCUCUGUAUAGAAAUAAGGACAGAAAGGAGGAUACGUCUACAGGAGAUGUGACUACUGGGUUUAGUGACUAUUGGGCUUAGCUCUGGUUAUGCCCUACGCCGACAUGGCCCAAAGUAAGUGAUGGUAACUACAACUAUACUUUAAUAAGAAUCAGAAAUCAAGUCAAAUAAUCAGAAAUCAAACUAACAAGCGAGGCUCUAAGCAAGCAGAGGGAGAAUAAAGGUAAAGGUAGUAAGCCUGCGAGACAGGAAAGCGAGGCUCUGGGUGGUUAGUAUAAGAAGGCCUGUUUUGCAGGGUAAGGCCCAUAGUAAGUAGUAGCUCAAUCCCUUGUUGGUAGUGUGUUUCUUCUUUUAGGCAUGGGUUUCUUUUUAGAGUCCGUAGUCGCAUGCUAACAAUCAAAUAAUACAUAGAAUCCGGGUAAUCUAGUUCCAUUCUUUGAGUAGUACUGCUCAGCGUAAUCAGCUUUAAGUGCAGUAGCGAAAGUCCCUGUUCCGAGUUGGGUUCGCCUAGUUGGAUUCCCUUUCUCUUUGUUCCAUUAUUAUAGGAGUCGUUUCUUUUGUCUGUAGCAAUAGGAGUCGUUUCUUUUGUCUGUAGCACUGGGUGAAGUCUGUCUGCGCUCUCAACAAAUACGGAAUUGAUCCUAUAGGGCUUAGCAUCUAGCGCACUGGAAAGUCAAAGUGAUGUAAAUAUCCAUAUUCUAAUGAGAAAAGGAAUAGACCUUUUGAGUAUAGUUUCGCAUAAAUAACUAAUUGAUAUUAUAUAAAUGACACUGAAUCAAUACAGGAAAUACUUUCAAUAAGGAAUGUCAGGUCUAGUUCUGUGCGUAAAUGCGUAAUGGAAGGUCUAUAUCGGUGCUAUCUCAACUCUUUAUUGGAAGUUCAAGUGUAUUAAAGCACUAUUCACAUUCCCGGCCUAGAGUAUAAGAGAAAAGAAUAACAACAAAAGAGAGAAUUCAAGCAGAGGUAGUAAGAAUAAGAUAGAGGACAGCUUUAGAUGAAGGUGUAGUUAUAUAGCCUUAAAAGCAGUAGAGCAAGCCCGAGAUCGAGUCAUGGCAGUUCCAUAUGUGAGUUUGGGUGUGAGGUCUGAUGGGCAGUGCUUCUAUUCUGUGUACAUCAGUGAAAGCUUUGUUAGCCGCAGUUGAGUUUCUUAGUUCGAAUCCAAUUCUAGUAAUAGUAGUGAUGCUCUUGUUAGCGGUGGGUUCGGUUCAGUCAGUCUCAUAUAUAGCAGUUUCAGAAUUGAAGAUUGAUGACGCAUAGUCAGAUUCCAAGUGCCGGCAGCAAGACUAACAGGUGAAAGAAAUACUUUAGGGCGGUUAGAGGUCAGCAGGGGAAGUUUUCAACAAAGAAGUCAGCACCCCCGUGAGCAACUACAGACUGAAGUCCAAGAGAGAAAGACCUAUAGACGGGAAAACAAGGCUCUAAGCAAGGGCAGCGUCAGCAGCGAUGGCUCGAGCUGCAGAACUCAAGUAAUCCUUUUAAGAAUAGGGGACUAACCAGUCAAACAAAUCUUGAGGGGAGUGGCCAAGUACUAAUAAGAACGCAAGAAGCAAGUAGUAGACUCAAGCCUAUAAGCAAGGAUACAGUUUAGCAGUACGGGAAUGGAAGCUGGGGCAGUAAGGAUGAGAUCGAGGUAAGGACUGGCUUGCCAGCAGUAGCUCAAGUUAAGUUGGGCACUAUGGAAUUACAGGUUGUUAUGUUAGUACUCGAUCCCUAGUUUCUAGAUCCAGUAUUGUUGGCAUUGAUUCCGAUCUGUAUUAUCAAAGAAAAGUAUUAGAAGCACUAGGUCAAUUCAGUGGGGUGUGGGGAUAGAGUUAAGUCUUAUAAACAGUAGGCUAAGCCUGAUACGCAGUAAAGCCAGGAUCAAAGGCGGGGAGAGGGAUACGGUAAAGCAAGGUUCGAAUCAAUAGAUAGGGAAUUGAGAUAGGGCAGUGUCCGGUUGAAAGAAUGACUAGUAAGCAUGUUUGCCUGUACUGUUUGCCUUUAGUUGCAUUCCGAGAAGCAGCAGUGAAAGUACGAGAAGCACUAACUACUUGGCGCCAGCUUGUCUGCUUGGUUAUACGUGACUUGGCUCUCCCCUACUCAGUUGCUCUACUCCGGACAGAGGAUGUCUGACUGUUGCUCUACCUGGGACAGGAUGUAUUACUCAGGAGUUAUUACAAUGGAUGUAUUCAGGGCGGUAGCGAGUUAAAGGAUCAAGUGAGUUCCUUGUUGCGCGGCAGGAGCCCGAGCGAGCUUCUAGUAGAUCUUGCAACUAAUCAUUUAUUAUAUACUAGUAGAUCUUGCAACUAAUCAUUUAUUAUAUAGACUAUAUCCUAUUCUUCCUAGUUCUCUUAUUAUUCCUAUAGCCUAUACUAACUCAUAGGUAUCUGACUCAUAUAGUACUUACCUAAACGAAGUUAUUCAGACUACGAGUUCUCUUUUGACUCCUACUGAGUGAAAUUAUGACUUGCUACACCUUCAUUGCUAAACACAUGGGUGAUACCUACUACAGUUACAAGUCCUUAUUUGUUGCUGCUACCAUAUAAGUCGAAUUCUUUCUCUGUGAACUCCACUUUCCUGCAUCCCUUUUGCCAACAACUUUAUACCUUUACUUUAGAACUGAGCUUGCUGGUGUUCGACUCAAUAAAUAUGUUAGUAACAGUUAUUACCAAGUCCUUAUUUCGGGUUCAGAAGAUCAUAUUGCAGUCACAGAAUUUCUUUCAUCUAUCGCAGACUUAGAACCAAUAGCCGGAACUCUUAUGGAAUCUGGUACAAGCACAGCUCAUUCUUGAGUCUAGUAUAGUAUCCUUUCCUGGCACCCGACCUGUAAUCUAAUGGUUGAGCUACAGCGGCACGGCACCUCGAUUCAGUAUUAUUAAGUUGGGCUACUACUACUCGGGACUGCAAACCCAUCUUUUGAAUCUACUGGUGGAUCUGUUUCCGCUCUACCAGCUUACUUUUGCACUGAUCCUUCCACAGUGGAAUAUCUGUCUCCUGAGUCUGCGGAUUCUCUGGAAACGGAGUCUUCUCCUUUCGAUGUAUACUUUCCAUCUGAUGCUUCGGAGCACUCGGUGGGUCGCAUUCUUUAUUUGGAGUGUGAUUCUGACCUUGGAGUGAAAAAGUCCACAGGCUUCUAGCUCGACACUUGUUUGCCUCAUGACUAGCUUAUCAAUUCUAUACCUUUCUACCUUAAUUCUUCUCCGAAUCUCCCCUCGCGCAGAUAUUUGUAAUUCCGAGUUGGCGGCCGUACACCAAUGCUUCGUAUUCUGCUUCGUUGUUGGGAGUAUAGCCGUAUGGCCUGUUCCAAUCGCAGUCAAGAGGAGAGUUAGAAGAAGGUACUUUGUUGAAUCAGUAUUUGUAGUAUUAGUUGACAGCUGGGUCUACAAGGGAAGCAAUGGAAGGUUGCCAGCCCAGUGGAAUCAGUAGUUGUUGAGAGAGUUUAGGUAGGCAAUAAAGUCCAGAGUCGAGGUCGGCAAGAGAAUAAGUCUCGUCUCUUUCUUUGGCUUUGAAGCGGGGAGUGUGGAAUUACCUGGAAAGCUGGGUGAGUUAGGUCUACGAGAUCAUCACAAGUCCAGUAACCUUAGUAUAUGAGUGAAAUUAGAACCUUAGUUGCGGAAGAGGGAUAAUGUAAGUAUAAGUGGGUAAGUAACCCUGCGCUCUGAACCAACCCGGGGCCCAGUACAUGCUCUUACUUGACCUAUCUAUCCAAUUUGAAGUCAACUCUCUUCUUUAGUACAGGACCCUCCCUUCUUAGUCCGAAUGAAGUUCAUUGUUGCCAGUUUACAGAGGAGAAGUAGAUGAGCCAUAGGGAGAUGAGCCAUAGGAGAGGCAAGUUUCAUAAAGGUCUGCAAGGGAAGCGGUUAAGGAGGUGGGCAAGUAGGAGUUACAGAAUUGACCUCAGUAAUUUCAUUCAGUAGUAGCAGGGGAUCAAGAUCAGAAUGAAGCCAGUAAGUCGUUGCUUGCUUGUCUGGCUUUUUCCCUUUGUUGUCUCCGAGAGAAGACUCAGUGGCUAAAGGGGGAGUUGUGGAAGAAUUGGUUCCUCAGGAUAAGUAAGGCGCUAAGGGAAGUUCAUGAGUUGAGUUGAUUCUGUUCCUUUCCUAAGCGAGUUGCUUGGCGCCCAUAACUCUGACUAACGUAUUAUGUGAGUUCCGACGCUGUUUUCCAAGAAAAAAUAAGAGAUGAAAUAGUAAAGAAAGAAGUAAAUACAUGGUACACGGCUUCUUUAUAUACCAAGUGCUAAACCCAAGUAAGAAAGAUAUUAAUUAAGGUAGAGUUGCCCGCUGGGCGAAAUGAGAACUCUGGCCAAGCUACUAAGUAAGACGGCCACUACUAAGUGCUUAGUUGGAGGCUUUGAAGCUAGAAGUACUAUUGAUCCCAGGUAAGAAACAAAAGGAAAGGGAAGUAGGAAGUCACAGUCACCGGCAAGCGUAUACUAGGAGCAAGAGGAAAAGGUUAGGAUAGAGGUAAAGUUGCAUCAGUAGCUUAUGCCAAUGAGGCAGAGGUAAGUAAACUCUCUUCUAAUAAGAUAUAUUCCUAUACAAGGGGGCCAAGCAACUACUAGACGCCAAGCAACGGCGCAAGCCGUUGUGCGGCAGUAACAACAAUAGUAAGUUAUAAACUGUUAUUACUAGCUAUGUGUUCGCUGUCGCGUCAGCGAGCUAUAAUAGCGGCAGCCAAUAAACAGUUAUUACGAAGUUAUUACAAUAGAUGUGUUCGUAGCGGUAAGUUAAGUAAAGGUAUCCAUUCUAAGAAGGUAGUGUCAGUAGUACUAAGAUCAGAAUGCAACUGCAUAGUGACAUCGGAGGAGCAGCCCUACCGCUACACAUUAGUAGUUACUUGGUGCAUCUAGUAAUUGAAUGACAGAAUUGACCUUAGCACUGUGUAGGGGGCAUAGGAAUAGGCAUAAGGAACUUCAAGAAUUUCACACGACAGGAGUAGAAUGAGUGCGGUAAACAAAUAGUGCUUCUUAUUGUCUUAACUCAUAUUCCCUAGGAACCGUACAAGCCUGAGACCUCCAACUGGAAAGAAUGGAAUUUGCAGGGUUGAGAUAAGAUCUGAUGCUGCCGAGUGGGGGUUAUCCACUCCAUGUGUGAAGCAAGUAGUCAAUAGAGAAUUAAGCAAGUAGUCAAUCUAUCACCUUUGUAGUCGUGUCUUGGCGGGUAGCUGGCUGGGUGUUAGAGAUUCAAAAGCAGCUUCUGGUCUUGGGUGUACGAGAUGAUAAAGUAAGUGUAGUCUCUUUCCCGACUCCGCUAUGGGAGCCGAAUGAAGGUAUCAAACGUAAGAUCUCAAGUCUGGUAUAGGUGUGGGAAGGGCCAAGCUUAGUAGUGGAUUUAUUAAGAAUAGAGUUUACGAACAGGGCAAGCGACUUACCGGCUAGAAUCCCUUUCAUUAGUGGUUGAGAUAUAGGUUCUUCUGUUCGAGGCGAGGAAAUAAGUACUGAAGUCCAGAAUUGCUAUCAAACCGGGUUUCUUAAACUUCCCUUGCCUAGCCAGAGGUACAGGAUAGAGGUUCAGUUGAAAGUCUAGUUCUUGCCCCUUUUAGUAGUGCUCCUGUUUCAAAUCCUUAGUCUGAUCCCAAUAGUAUAGUAGUAAAGAAGAAAGAAAAGAAAGAUGUUAGGAGUUACAGAGUUUGUAAGGGAGUUAAUUCAGUAUGUAUUAGUAAGAGACUGCCUACAGCGAGCUAUGUGUUAGUUGAGCCCUACCCUAGUGAAAGAGUUAGUCUUUGAGUGAAUUAUAGGAGUGAAAGAGGAAAAGUAGAUGAGCCUAAUUCCGUUAGUAAAUAGAAAAUGGUAUCUGCUAGGCUAGGCUAAAGAUUCCUCCCCGACUCAAAGGGGCAAACAACUAAACGACAAGCAAAAUAGUUAGAUGAGAUGGAGGCAAGAACAGAACAGAUGAUAGAAGUAGAUGAGCCUAAUUCCGUUAGCAGAGAGGAGCCUCAGCCCACAGUUCCUUGUCCCGUUACCAAAACCCAGGUGUUUGAGAGUUAUGUACGAGUCCUGGUGUAACCAGGCUUUCUUUUCCUUUUCUAUCGUGAGAACAGAGCCGCCAUUUAGUUCUCAGUUCGCAAGCCGCCAUCGCAGCCGACGCAGUUCCGUCUUCAUUCGAUCUGAGCUCGGUUUCAGUGGUAAGAAGAAUUGGCUCUAUAUCGACUGAAUCACUCUAUCUAAGGGUUCAUGAGGAUAUGUCAGUUCAGCGAGAGAGAACAGAACGGGGUAUAAUACCUUUCUUUACACGAUACUUUAGACUCCACUUUCCACUUCGAUUGAACAAUAGAAUAGGACCAUAAACACUAAGAAUUGAGAAAUGCAAACUAUCCACGCUCCGCCAAUAUGCUAAUAGGUCUCUGCCCCCCAACCAAUAUAUAUAUAGAAAGAAUUCAUUAUAGAAAGAAUGAAUGAACCUAACUUCGGGCUAUCAAGUAUAAGUGACGAUUUGAUGGAGUAUCCUCCGCCCUUUCUCCCCCUGUGUGCUUUCUUUAUGAGAAUGAUGAAUUGGAAUUGUUGCCAUUAUCCUCUGCUCUGCCCCCAGUGUGCUCUUUAUGAGAAUGAUGAAUUGGACAUUCCAGAAGGAGAUCUUGUCACCAAUGGAUAGGUUCUUGUCUGUAGGUAAGCAGACCGUGUAAGCUAGAGUGGCGAUGCAGAAUCCUUCAUUACAGAUCAACUCACUUUCAUUAUUCCUUUCCUUAAAACAGGGCCGCAUCCGUGAUCAGGUCUGAGGGAAGUAGCUCGUGCCCGAGUCAAGGUAUUUGGUUUUGAAAUGCCAUAUGAGAUAUGUGGAAUUCGGGAAGAUACUAUGGUUCUCCUCCAGCAGUAGAAUAGCACUAUAUAGCUCUAUUUUCUCUUAUGGUCUGAGACUAAGGAGAAAGGGUAAACUCAACAAGCAACGGGCUGAGCAACUCUGAGAGCUCCUACCGUUUCGCUCAACAAACAACGGAACGAAUAACUACUAACGACCAAGCAACGGCGCGCCAAGUCACUACGCUUCCCUUUCCUCUUCUCCGGUCUUCUACUUACAACUCGAAACUCCUGCUCUGACCACCUGUUCUCCACUCCAUCUUUAUAGCUUCAUUCUGCCUAGCUCACCUCUCUAGCUCACCUCUUAGUUCAAUCCUUACUUUCCGACUAGCUUACCUAGCUUAAGGAGCUUCGAAGGCUUAACCGAAGAGGCAGUCAAUAGGCCCAGCUACACCUACAAAGGCAAAGAGAGAAAGAAACAUAAGAAUGUAUUAGUAGCAGCUGUUACCAAGUCUCUCCUCCGAGUCCUUGGAAUCUACUUCUCAUAUAAGAGAGAAUGCAAGUGGGAAUUGUUCCAGUUCUCAAGUAAGCACUAACGGGAGCAGAUCUUUUCUCAUGUCCACUAUAGAUGUGAAUAAUAUAGAAUAUAGAUAUAGGUGCCUCGUAUGGGUCCUUGCCAUGUGUUUCGCUCCUUUAGCCCUUACCCUUAAUACAGGUGAACUCUGGAAUUGUACUCGCUCACUACUAGCAGGAUUCCCUCGCUCACUACUCGCAGGAAUAGAAUGAACUACUUUGCUAUCAGGCAAGCAACGAGACUCUACCGGACCCGCCUGUUACUGACUUUAGAGCACCCAACACCCGGCUAAGGAUUGAGUUAAUUAUAUGACAAAUCCUCCAAUGAGUCUUUCACUCCUCUGUCUUGUUCGGAUAGCCUAGAUUUAGCUGUAACUAACUGACUUAUAAAAGAGAGAUGAAAAAGUAAGUCAAGUAAAGUAUCUUUCUGUUCUUGAGCAAGUAAAGAAGCUAGUAGGCGAGUUCAUAAGUAGAAGACCGCUUAGACCUAUAACUGAUUUGCUAAAGUAAGCAGUGAACGCUCCUAUUAACUAAAUGAGGCUUAUCUAACUCCUUGCAACAAAGACAUAUGAAACGUUACUAUUGACCCUGACCUUUUAACGGCAGAUUCUCUCGUUGACUUAACUCGUACACAAAGAGACUCAGACUCCGCUUAGCACACCUCGCGCGUACACUAGAUUCUUUCCCAAGAAACGUCACUUGCAGAAUUGACAACACCACUCGCACUCGCAGCUUACUGACUUUCUACUGUCGAUUCGGGAGCUUAACCUCGCUUAGGAACUCGAUACUUGUAGUUGCUUGUUUCAAUUGGAUGUAGUUGCGUGUCACCCGUAGCUUGGCUGUCGGCGAGUUGCUUCAGCCCUAUAAAGUAUAGUAUUAGUUUUCAAGUUCCAGUUCAUAACUUCAAGGAUAGGUUCGGUUCAGAAUCAUCAAGUGGAGUUCGGAAAUGCAAGUUGAGUGCGAGGUGAAUCUGCUCUCUUUUCUCCUGAUUGCCCGUUGCAUUCUUACUAGCAAAGGUUUGGUUCUGAGUAGCACUAGUAUCAGGCUUGGGCGAGUGGAAGUGCAAUUCUGAUCAAUGUUAGCUCCAUUCCCGAACAACAGUGGUUUCGUUCUGAGUAGCCCCAGCACCAGUCUUAGUAGUCACCGUUUAAGCCUUGGAUUCGCUGGCUUAAGUCUGUCAUGGGCUUAGUUCAUUCUGAGUGGUACCAGCUCCGUUCCCAGUAUGCCCAGCACUUGUUAGAGACUUGGACUCCCUUGUUUCGUUCUAUCACUUAGCAGCUCCCUUCUAUCACUUAGCAGCAUCAGCCUGAGUACCACUAGUUACAUUCUCGUUGGCAGUGCUUUAAGCCUUGGAUUGAUUGGUUUCAGUCUCAGUCUUACUGGUUGCAUUCUUACUUCAGAUGCGGGGAAUCGGUGGGAAUGCGGUGAAUCGGUGCACUCCCUAUAUAGUAGUGGGAAUGCGGGCAAUCGGUGCACUGACUUCAUUCUUUGACUCCUAAGUUCCAUUCUUUCAUUCCUACUUUCAAGAAAGAGCACUCAAUCGGGCAGGCUUGGAGUUAGUGCUUUCAGGCUUUGACUCCCUGCUUGCAUUCUCACUGCCACUGGGGUAAGGCUUGUUGGUAGCAGCUAUAGCCUGUAACUCUCUCGGUUAAGCCUUGGACUCCCUACUUUCCGUCUUGUUGGCACUUGUUUCAGGCUUAGCAGACACCGCUUCAUCCUUUGACUACCUAGCUACAUACCUAGCAGGCGCUGUCUUAGCCUUACACUUACCGGUUGCAUUCUGGUUGUGACUNNNNNNNNNNNNNNNNNNNNUCCAAUGUCACUACUAAUACAAGGGAGCGGUCUUCAACUCAGGAUGAAACUAACUACUACUGAUUCCACUACUCUACCACUAGUUUGGGCAAGAAUGUCACUUUCUGCUAACAGACCUCGAACAAAGCUUUCUGUAUCGAUCUAACAAUGAAGUAUGACUUUCCACCUGUAUCGAUCUAAUAAUGAAGUACGACUUUCUACCAACAGGCUCCCAAAAACAGGACUUGGUUAUCCAUUGCAGAGUAGCGGGAAGGAAACUCCAUUCUUUUAUUGGAACUGAAAGGACACUGUUAGCGGUAAGUCAACUCCAUUCUUAUGAGUUAACCCCGACCCUCCAUGGUGCUGCCUACUUCCUUAUAAUAGAAGAGAAAACUCUCACAGGAACAGGGCCAAGCGCGUAUACUAUAGUUGCGCGGCAGCAGUUAUCUUGUUCAAUUCUAAGUGUUAUACUAGUGGCGAACGAGGGUAUCAAGCAAGCGGGUCUUCAGUGAGGUUAAGGCGUGGGGGCUUGGUUCUUUAAUGAAACAACUCACUCUGUAGUAAAAGAAUUCCACAAGGCAGACUACUUAUUGGGUCUAGUUAGGUCUAGGAAUUGCACUCAGUAUUGACUAAGCACGAAUGAAUAGAGCAGUAGGCAGAACACAGGUGAACUCUGAAACAAACAAGUAAAGACCCAGCUCCAAAGCCCCUGUUUCUUACCAAAGAGUGAAAAGAGGCAUAGGUCGACAAGGGAAGCUAUUCAAGUUGAGGUCGAGGUCCAGUAUCGAGUGUAGUUUCAGAAGACCACUUCUUAUAGUUAGAAGAGUUUCUACCCCUUAUAGUAAAGGUUGGAUAUAGAUACUGGUCAGAUUACUAAUACAUACAUAUAUACUCUAGCUCGAAAGAAAGAAGACUGUCCUGUUUACUCGGAACAAGACUCAGUGAGAGUUGAGGCAAUCCGAUCUUCUGCACUCUCAUCUCAAGAUUCCAUUACAGUUUGACUCUAAGCAAGAACAAGUGAUAGAGUUCCAGAAACAAACUUAGGCUUUAGAAAGGAAAGGUGCGCUUACAGAGCUCAACGUGUUGUGCUAACGGAGGGCGGUAGAGAUUAGUAUUUCCAAUUCCAUUCUGAAAAGGGCGAACAUGAGUUUGUGCCAGCAGUAAGAAGUCGUGAGUUAGCUGGUAGCUUUGUAGUCAAGGAAUCAAUUAGUGAGUCAGCAGUUCGAGAAUCAGCAGCGGAAUUUACUGUUAGAGUAGCAAGUCCAGGAGAAGAAUCCGUGAGAGUGAAGUCAACGAUACCAGAAACAGGAUCUGUGCUAAAGAAAGGUGCUGGCGGGUAUCAAGCAAGCGCUUCUGCAAGUUAAGAGUGCGCAGUCGAGGUCGGCUAAUGUAUAGGAAAGUCGAGUGCAAGUGUCAACAGCAGUUAUGGAAUCAUAGGUUAGGUCGUUAAGCAAUCCGAUCUUCUGCACUUGAUAGAGAAAAUGCAUUCUUUGUUUCAAGUGGAAGUUUUCGUUUCAUAUAAAUACUUUACCACAAGACAUAAUUGACUACUUGCUUCACACAUGGGUCUACUCCCCGGAUACAUAUAGCUAUACAGCAUCACAGUUCUCUUACGACCCUUUCCUUGCUCGCUCUGUUAUCAAUGUCAAUUAUUUGAUAGUUAACAUAAAGGGUAAAGUUCGUCAGCUGCAUAGAGGCUCUCCUACUCCACGGAGACAGUAGCUUCUUUUCUCAUCUCCCAAUAAAGAAUACAGAAUGAAACUGAAACCGAGGAAACCCUCUUAUUAUUGACAGCUUUAGCGUCUUUGCUUUCCUUGCUUCUUUGUCUUUCAAGUGUGAAUUGAACUCACACCGGACUAACGCCAUGAAAACAAACAAGACUCGGGCUACUAUAGGAGUACCCUAGUUUUUCGACUUUUCUUCUUUUCUUCUAUAGAAAGAAAUAAUCUCUUUUCGAAUGAUCAACUGCGUCGGUGCUUGUUGAGUUCACCUUAAGAAAUGAAGGAAGAAUCUAUUUUGGAAUGCUCAUCUCCACUGCCCACUACACUUGUUCGGUAAAGUGGAAACAAAGGGUGAUGAAGGUAAGAAGAAGACAACUUGUCCAUAAGGGCAAGCCAGCCAGAUAUGGUAUUGAAUGGAACUCCUAACUCUGUAAGAAUAAGUAUAAGUAUUAACCUCAACACUCUAAACUCCCGAACACAGGAACUGUUAUAACCGCCAAGCUACAACUAAUAAGGCGCAACUACUUCUCUAUUGACUCAUUGCUCCACACAUGGGUUAUACAACUUGCUUAAUUGACUACAAGUUCUCUCUUUUCUCUAUGACACUCUAUUACAAUUCCAGUUUUCGUCAAGCGUUAGGAGCUACACCGAGCCCUUGUAUGGAAAGAGAGGUUUUUGGAUAAUCCGCAGCGCCGAGGUCAGAUGCCAGAGAAAAUAAAGGAGUUGGCGACAAUAGACCUUUCUUUAAGAAUGGAGUCUAUCCAAUAGUACUGGCUUUGAAGCUAGUUACAGAAUUGAACAGCAGAGGCCCGGAGUGAAACCAGUGAUACUAACUUGAAGAAUGCAACCGGAUAGGCUCGGAAUAGAGCUAGUGGGUAUCAGUCUGAUGCUAUGUAGGCUCGGAAACUAGUGAAUCCAAGACUUAAACAACUUUCAAUCCAGACUUAAGCCAGUGCUAACCAGAAUGAAGCCAGGGAGUUACAGGCUUUGGAGGCAGACUCAGAAUUGAACUCACUUUGGAGGCAGGCUAAGAAUUCCCCUAAGUGGACUCGGGCCAAGUAACGGCCAAGCAACUGGACAAGUCACUACUAAUGUGUAGCGGUAGCGAGUGAAAAGCGGUAGCGAGUUAGGGGCCCUAGUGGUUUGGUUCUAUGACUCCCUGGGUUCAGUCUGUUCGGUGUGAGUUUAAGCCUUGGAACUCCGCAUCAGCCUUAGCUGCAGUGGUUGAAGAAUAAGUAGCACCCGAACUUGACUUGAUAACAGGCUAUUCUUCUCUCGUAGACUUAGAGCUAGAGCACCAACACCCAAAGAGGAUGAUCCGGAGCCUUAUCCUUCUCUUUUGGAUUUAGAGACAAUAACCAUAACUCUCCUUGAAACAAAUCAUUAUGAAACGGAAACCCAUACUUCAUCGACACUGAUUGAAUUCCUGUCUUCAUCGUCUUCGCUAACGGGAAUAGAUCAUUCCUAUCUUAUAUGCGCAGUGGAUAUAGAUUGCAUUAUGAAUACUGUUUUCUCUAAGCUAAACCUAUGUUCAACGACGAAACCCUAGUUUACACGGCACGGCUUCCUUCGCCUUAAUGGCGCAUUAGCUUAUUGACUGAGCGGUUUCUUCUAGCUUUAUUGGAGUCUCUUUCUGUUCAAAUCUUUGUCGUCUAGAUAGGGUGGUUAUUGGCUUUCCUUUCCCUUGUUUCGGGUGCCAGUUCCUUCAUCUUUUAUUGAAUACCAGUUCCAGAGUCACUCAAUCACAAGGCUUGCUAAAGAGCUCGCACCCACACUUGUUGACUUGUUCCUUUGCUUAUGGAAUUGAAUAGGGCGGCUAUACACAUACAGAAUAUCGUAAACAAACACUAGAGCAGAAUAUCGUAAACAAACAGCUUUGCAUCCUUAUCCUUUAAGAGACUCCACUCCGUAUUAUGAAUUGAGUGCACAAAAGAAAAGAGGAGAAAUAAGCGUUCCACUGAUGGAAUCAUGUAAGUGGAAUAUAGGUGAAACAACGCAUAAAGGCCAUAUUGUCCCGAUGUAGUACCCCGCAACUCAUUAUUAUGUUGAUUCCUAAGCUUGUUCCAGAAACUAACUGUGUACUUUAUCGUCCAGCUGCUAUUCCUUCUACUUUACUUCUCUUUCCGCCGGUGGAAUUGACUUUCUAUCCUGGCUAUCGAUCUACCCCUUGCUUGUUUACUAGAAAUAUAUAUAAUGGAUUUACUAGCAGCAUAGCUUUCCUUAUUUACUAGCAGCAUAGCAGCAUAGCUUUCCUUAUUUACUAGCAGCAUAGCAGCAUAGCUUUCCUUAUUUACUAGCAGCAUAGCUUCUAACAAACAAGGGUCCCUUUUGCUAAUGUGAGCUUUCGGGUCGGGGUGCUUACAACAGUUCUUUCCCUCAGAUGGGCUGGGCAUAAGAGAAAUUAGUACAAAAGAAGAAAAUCUAACUCACACAUCUUUAUAGAAAUGAAAGCAUAUUACCACUUCUGUUAUACGAGACUCCUUUCUGGAUAUGAAGACUUAUAAUAUACUGGAACUCCCUUCUUUAGACUAUACUUUGAUACUGGGGACUUUAGACAAGACAAUACUUCGAGCUGUAGGCGUGAAGCUCUGUAGGCAUAGUGUUGAGCUACCUAUCUUGAUUCCCGUGAGCACUAGUGAGCACUUGUGUUCUUUCGAUCUCCCCGUUGCUUCUUGCAUUCAUAUUGAUUUAGCGGGCAGACGAACCCUAUACGUUUGUACUUAUUUAUUCCAUUCCCUCCUUAGCCCUUGCUUGAAAUUCCAUUAUUCUUGAUUUCGGUUCCCUUGCUUGUUGAGUUUGUUUAGUUCUGCACACUUGGGAGCUUUAAUAAUCCCAUUUUGUGCGCUCAUUCUAUAGAAUAAAGUAACAACACCUUACUAUAUCCUCUUGCUUCUUUCAUUUCUUUCUUUAAUGAGUGUGCAACAUAAUCUAAUAUAUGAAGUUCACUGCCUAUUCCUAGAUGUCUAUUCCUAUAUGUCUAUUCCUCUCAGUACAGUCUAUUCCUAUAUUUACUGUUCCUCUCUUUACUGUUCAUUCCUAUAUGUGUAGUCAAUCUCUCUUCUCUCAUCUCAACUCGCUAACGUACUUUGGUGAAAGCGCUAACUCACUAAUGGCUUCCCUAAAGCGAAUUACUUACUUGUGGAACACAGCGUAACUGCUGACACAAACUCACAGCUUUGCUUCAAAACGGAAACUACCUAUUAGUUGCUCGGGUGCUAAGGCUUAUUCUUUUGCUUGAAAACGGACUCCUUACAUAGUAGUUUCAUCACUUAUAUCGGCAAAGGGUGAACUCAACUCGAAAGAAAUCAUAUUUGAGAGCGCUUCCACACAAUAUAGAAUCAAGUAAACAACACUGCUUCCAGUAUAAUGAAUUGUUCCACUGUAGCUCAAACAAAGUAAAGGUAUACGAGUGAAGUUCAAAUAAGUGCUAGUUUCUUCUCUUUUCUUCCUAAGCUUGUUGAAUAGAGAGAGACAAAACAGCAUUGAUUGCAAUGCAAAAUCAUUGAUAUCGCGAUCCUAGUCUUUGCGAACCCUUAUAGUGCCAGCUCUUUGGCAAAGUGAAGUUCGUUCAGUAAACUCUAAAACUCAAUUUCAACGUUUGCGAGUUAGGAGGCUGUUCCAAAGCAUUUUUGCCUCGAACGAAAACGGUAAUGGAACUUGAUUAUUGAAAGCCCAUUAACAGAAAUCGACUUGUAUUCCGUACGACAAGAUGGUAUUGCAGGAGAAGUCAAAACACGAACUCUGCUUCCAAAACCCUAGACUCUCGCUAUACUCAAAUCCAGAGGUACGUACCACCUUACUACAUCUCUCUCCGUAGCACCUGUGCAAAGUACUCUCUCUAUGGUUGUUUGGGUCUUUCUCGGGCCCUUACUUGACUCUAUGUUGGUUGUUUGGGUCUUUAGCAGGCCCUAUUGAUAUAAAUUCCGCCUUUCUUAACUGCGCUCAAGGCGAUGGAUUACUAUUACCAUAAUCUUUGACUUUACUUACCCACGACCGAGUGAACAUCUGUUCUUGAAUCAGUAGCAUUUGGGCCGGGGUAUUCAAAGUGGUGUUCCGGAGAAAGGCCAAAUUCCAAUGAUUGACUCUGUUCAGUUCCAAAUUGGAUGUUCACUGGCUUGGCUUCUUAAUGAUAACUUCCCCGCAAUCCUUCUGAGGUUGAAAACAAAUACUCAAUUGAUUCUGAAUUUCUUAGAGUGGAGACUCCCCUCAUGGGUACUUGAAAUACCUUUCCAAUUAGUAACAAAAAACAAGAAAGCUUCAUAUGCUGUCUCUUAGUAAAAUCUCGUGAUGAUCGAGAGCCCAGCCCCUAUGGUGGAAUCUACACUCAAGUGCGGUCCGUCCCCUUUCUUUAGCAAUAAGGGAUGAGCAUAAGGUCUGGCUGGCCUAUUAAUAAGAUUAUUCUAAUACACAUAUGGGUUUGCUAUUCUAAUACAAAUAUGGCCGUUGCUUGGCCCAAUAAUAACUACUUUAUUGUUGUUGCUGACGCCUUUAAUAAUGACAUCGAUCCUGUCUGUAUAAAUGAAUAGGGUAUGUGCCGGUCAAGAUAAGGGUUUUGACUACUGGCCGAGUGAAGUGGGAUUCAUUCAGGAAAGGCAAAGUGUUUGGCCAUUCAUUAUCUUUAGUGCAUUGGCAAGGUUGAAAUAGCGGAAUUGCAGGUUGGGUAUAGGGCAAGUAAGGUCUUAACUGGGGUCGAAAGCGAGCGGGUUUAAUGCAACAAAAGUGCUUAUUCCUGCGAAUACAAGGUGAAUGAAUGGGUCCAUUACUUGAGAAAUAGCAUCUCCCAACAAAAGGUCUAUAAAUCGGGAGCUAUAGCAAUAGGUUCCUCAUGAGCGUAUGGACACUGGUGAUAGGCCGGGAUCUAAUAAGUCAGUUAUCUAGUCUAAAGAAAGCAAAACGUAAGUAAGGUCAAGAAAGAAGAAGCUUAGUCCCUACUUUGUGGAGCCUGGCCUGCCUUUUGGCCCGAUUCUACCAGCGCAGGCAAGUGGGAGACGAAAGCAAUGCACGCGACAAGAUUCAUUAAUUAUUGGGGGAUUAUAUAAGAGUGGAUUCGUGAACAACCUACUUUAUUCAGUCAGCACGUAGUAUUAGGUUAUUAGUGGAAUUUCAAGGUUCGCUUUCGUACGUACAAUGUCAUUGGUUGCUAUACUAUAGCCACUCUUCAUGACGCUUAGCUUUGAUUUCUCUUUCUUACUGGGGCAUUCUUAUAGCUACUAGAUUUCAGAAUAAAUGAAAUAAGAGAAGCCAAUUACGAACAGGGCGGUCCUUGCUAACCUCUUAUGAUCCUCCUAUCUCCGAGCUCUUCAAUCGAUUGCCUUUCUUUCUAUUCUAGUAGACCCAACCGGCGGUAGGCCCUAUUCUCGUUACUAUUCUAUUUCUAUUCAUUCAAAAGGUCUUGUCUUGGCUCAUUGCAAUUAAUUCUUCCAUACCAUGUUUUAUGACAAAAGGAAGCUGCCUCGACCCGUACAAAUGCCUCGCUAAGCUGGUUAGAUAGCCAGUUCAGUAUCCUCCAAAUAAUGGUAGACGUCUAUCUCCUAUACCUUCUAGCCUUACCAUUUCUAUGGUCUUACCCUUUCCCUUUAGCUUUGGAAGAAGAGCAAGGAUGGGAGGGAGAACUUGAAUGCGCUAUCCUGAGAGCUAUAAAUAGAAAUGCUGACCGGCAGGAUGAAAUCAACUAAUCCAAAAAGGGCUCUGAAGUUCAAGUUGGAGUUGGUUCCACUAUAUUGGAUAGGAAUUGAUAGGAAUUAGUUAAAGACUGCCUGCUAGUAAGUGAGGCAAUCGAUAGGAAUUAGUUAAAGACUACCUGCUAUGCUUGUAAGUGAGGCAAUCGAUAGGAAGGCUAACGGCGAGGUGCCAACUAACCUUUGCCCUGUAUCUCAAUCAAUCAAUGGGGCAAGUAAAGGCAUCUCUUUUCUUUCUCGACGAGUCCUCGUGACCCAAACUCUAUUUCUUCUGGCCCAUCCUUCUCUAGCCAGUGAAACCUAUAGGCGGGGCUCAUCGGCAACCGGUACCAACAUCUCUUCUUUCUUCUCAAUAGCAUAUGUAUGCCCCAGACUCUAAUUUGGGGAUUUCUCUUUUAGGAUGUUCAAGAUCUUUAAGGGCGCGCCUUAUUCUAAAGUCAUUUAUUGAGUCAGAUCCAAAGUAGAAGCUAUCCCCGAAGAACAUUGAUAGAAAGAAUGGAAUGCUAGUGUUUUUGCCUUAGACGGUCUUGUCUUUCUCUUUAUUUGUGAAAAUCCUAUCCUAUAUUCUAUUAGAAUGAAUGUGGUCAAUUCCACUAGAUUGGGAAACUAGGGAUUCUUUUCUGUUUUCUUUGAUAUACAAUGCUCUUCUAUUUGCUCUUGCUAUCGAAUCCCCUCUUCUCUUUCUUUGAUAGCCAACUUUCCCUGAGAAAAAGGCACUAGCUCGGGUUCUUUUACAUCGGCUUAGGUUCUUUGAUAGAAGCGGAUGGCCAUACGAGAAUUUCCUUCACAUGAAAAAGGAUCUUCUGUUGUUUAUGCAUAGGUACAACAAGAUCGAUGAUAAUAAGGAUAAUAAAGAGCUAGAGGAAAGCAGGAGAAGUAUAUGCGAUAAUAAAAGGGGGCUUAAUCGAAUGAGUAAUAUAUAUCUUUCACUGAAUGGAUGAAUCUGAUUCCCCAAAUGAGGGAGUAGCUUAGCAUCCCUAUUACCCUCAGGAAGAUAGGUGGAGAGAAAAGGCAGAGUGUCGGAGGGCACUGAUCGCCGAUCGGACCUAUAUGUAAGAGUACUAGACCCAUCAAAAGAGUACUCUUAGUCAGAUAGAUUGUUCCUCGAUCUGAUAACUCAGGGGCAUCAUACCGUUCUGAGUCUGAGUCUAAUACGCCGUAUUAUGAGCAAGCCAAAGAAAUCGACUCUGGCUCCAGUCUCCAGUAUUGUUAUACUAGGCUCUGCUUUCAAAGCCUUAUCCAAAAUAACUGCUUCACGGUCGGGGCCCAUACCCUGUAUAAAAGCUAGUUACCCUCACUUUAUUUACCUUCCCCUCCACUCUAAGACUAACUUGCAGGAAUGUGAUUCAAUUGUAAUUCGUUGAUCUUAUCCUUUAUGUAUUUGCCAGGAAUGUGAUUCAAUUGUAAUUCGUUGAUCUUAUCCUUUAUGUAUUUGCCAGGUAUGAAGGUCCCUCAGUAAAGGUUGUUCUCCUUGAAUACAGCUUCCCGUAGAGAAGACCGAACCCAUUUCUGUAUUUCUUAAUUCAGACUCAUCAUGCAUCACCGGCCUUUACCAUAUUCCUUUGACUGUCCAGUCCAAAGAUCCAUUUACAUUAGAGCAGGUCUUCUGUCGGCCUUCUUUCCAGUAUUUGGGCAAGCAAGUAAGAUAAAGGUGGCUUAGCUGGCAAAGGUUUCCGUUUUGGCUUUCUAAAGUACAGUGAAGUUCCAUAUUGAUUUAGACUUUAUGAAAGAUAGAAAGAAAGAGAGAUUCCCGCUUUCAUUAAACAUUGAUGAACUCGGGUAGGAAUUUUGUACUAAAGCAAAAGAAGUAGAAGUGUUGAUAGAGCCUGUUUCUCUCGCGGCAAAGCUCAUUAGACGAAAAGAAAGAAGAUAGGAUUGUCAGAGAUUUGAGUGGAAUAGAGUGAUUAAGCACUUAUGCCCGGUGUAAGCACGUAUGCUUUAGACUAAGAUAUUUCCAUUUGGAGACAGAAGGUUAGCAAGUCGGAUGUAUCCUAGCCCUGUAUGUUAGAAAAUCCGCUGCUAAAGUGAAAGUAGGAAUGCCGGUUCUUGGUAGAAUGAUAGAAUGCAUGCUUCUGCUUCUUAGACCAGGAAUGCCAUCCAAUCAAUACUAGAUUAUUGCUGCCUAUCUAUCCAAUCUUGACUAUUGACUAUAUUAUUGCUGCCUAUCUAUUAUGGUAUGGCUGGGGAAUUGGCCUCCAUGGUUUCGAGGACCCGUUGGUUAAGAAGAGGAAAGCGGCUUUCAAAGUACCAGGCUAAGCGGAAGUAACCCAUGCCAUACUCCCAGGAAAAGCUCGAACGACCUUCAACCAACACAGAUGAGUCUCCAAUCUCUAAGCCAAGGAAAGAAUCAGGGGCUUAUAGACCAGCUUCUCUACUUUCCCUUAACUUGACGCCUGAAGCCUGUCCAAGGGCCCCCGGAAACCGUGAAAAGUCAGUGGUCGAGGGAUACCUUGGAUCUUACCCCCAAAAUCUCUAUUGCUGCUUUCUUCUUUGAAAUGUUGGAAAACCAACCCUACUAACUAUUCCUUACUCAUCCUUAUUUCCAUUGAGUUUAGGCGUGGGUGUUCGAAUGAAUGAUUUUAUGCUUUCUUGACUAUGCUGUGCUCUCCUGUUGGAUCGCUUUCUUUGGUUGGAUCAAGGGCGCCACCACUGAAUCAGGCGGGCGGGGAAGUCAAGCAGUAAUAUAGAGAUGACCAAUACACUAUUCAAGAAGAGCAAAGAGGUUGUUAGUUAUUUAGUUAAUGGGUAAUCAAUGAGUAGGAGUUGCAUGGGAUGGAUCAACGAAGCGGACGACUACCAAUUCUCCAUUUGCCUCAUACCAGAUUUGUCAGAUAUUACAUUUAUUCGUUAGAUUGAAAUAGGGACCUUUAUCAUAGGGGAAGUCCCACAUUAGUAACAUGAUGAUAUGGCCCUUUCCACCUUCGGAAUGAGCACCAAGAAAGAGGAUGAUGUGUAAGCUUUCGGGAGGGAGAUCCUCUCUUAGCUAAUGUAUGCUCGAUAUCAGAUAUAGUGGGCUCGCUUCUCUUUGGGUGUGAAGCUACUGCCUAUCUAUUCUUUCCCCUGCAGUAAGUAGGCAGAAGCAAGCGCGAUUACCCUUUUCCUUUUAUUGUAUAUCCAGCAAGUAGUGAUACUUUCCUUAGAGCAGUAGGGCUGACGGCUUGAGAUGAGAGUAGCUCGCUUAUAAUAGUCCGAUAGUUUCCAGUCUUAAAGCAAGCGGUAUGAUUCAAUCCUCUUUACUUAUUUUCUUUUAAGCACCUUAGAACCCUGUCCCCCCUUUUAUAAAACAAACUAUUUCAUUUAUAACCUAUCCAAAUAUCCAUAGUAUGAGAAAAACCUAUCUAUCACAAUCAAUUUCACCUCAGCCAUUUCUCGACCAUAAAUAAGUCCGUGGAAUCUAAGUCAAAUCACUCUUUCCAGCUAGCCCCCAAUAGUAUUCCCCCACCACUUUUCGAGUUCCAAAUAAGGGACUAAUCAAAAGAAGGGACUAAUGGAAUAAGUUUGAUUUCAAGUGUCUAGGCCCUUCUCGUCUUUGCGGAUCUUGCCCCCAAGGAGUCCCCGGAGAGUAAGGAAGGGAAGAUAAGAGAAGAUCGAUAGUGGGGCACGCCCAGAAACCAUUGAUUCUACCAUUAUAUAGUUAUGUAUAAGACUCUUGGAAAUCAAAUACUAGUUCGCAAGUCACAGGUCAAGUACGCUUGGAAAGAAAGAAAGAUCCGUUUGGUCUUCAUUGGAAAGAAACAUCUGUUUGGUCUUCAAUAGAGUGGAAAGAAGAGACGAUAGUCACAGACCUUACAAGCUGCUGGUAAGAGUGCCCAUUCGUUUCAUCUCUCUGAAAUAAGGGUACCGUACCUGGAUUUAUGUCUUAUUAGUGGGUUUCCCCUAGUAACAAGGUAUAAAGUCAAGUAUUUCCCCCUUUUUCCAUGUGUUUCAUAAGCCCCGAUUUAGUAUGCCUAUAGUUAGAAUCAAGUCAUCCAGGAUUUAGUAUGCCUAUAGUCAGAAUCAAGUCAUCCAGAAAUCCACCAAGGUUUUGAUUCUCAUUUAAGUGUCCAGUGGAUUUUGUUGCUUUCGGGCUAGCUUUUGCUCCAUGUUCCAAGAGAGUACGCCUGCCAGCGAGUAGUUCGUCUUGCCAUACCCCUUUUUGACUUUCAAGGACGGAUUUUCAUUUUCCUAGAAUUUAGAAGAUUUGAGAGAGGAUCUAAUUCAUCUUUAGAAUAUAAGAGAUAAGAUCUAAUUAAUCUAUAAUAGAUAUUAAGCACAUUCCUUAGUCCCUAAAGCCAACAAGUUUGAAGCCGGUUAGGAAAGAAAGCGUUACUUUAAGUUCAGAAAAGAAUUGAGGAUUACCCGCUUGCAGCAACAGAACAAGUAGACUCCACUUUCCCUGAACUGAACGAACUUUCAACUUCACCUUUUGCCUCAAAAGAACAGAAUAUGGAAUUUCCUCGCCAGGCUUCCUCUGGGCUGGGCUUCUUUCUAGAAACUACGAUGAAAGUGGAACUGGGCCAACGGAAAACUAUACAUCAGGCAUCACUUAUUCCAUAUACCGCGCUUCAACAGCUCGACACCGCUACGUUACUUGAGACAAAAGUCGCAUUAACCCUAAGUAGGGCCUGGUAAAGGAAAGGGAGAAUGAAUCAAAUAAUAUAAUCAUAUAAAUAACAUACGAUAUAGAAAAACACACCUCAAUUAUGGAAUAUGGGGUUGAAUAGAAUUAUAUGAUUGGAAUUUAGGAAGCCGGUGUGCUAACGCUUAUUUGAGCGGGGUGCGCCAAUCACAGUAAGUCGCAUUUCGAACGAAGUGAAAGAUAGAGAGGGAUGUAAUAAGCAUUAACAGGGAGAUGCUUUAGCUUUAUUUGAGUUUAGGUGCUUUAGCUUUAAUAAGGGAAGUCAGGCAAUAAGUCUUAGCUGCUUGCUGUGUUUUUACUAAGUUGUUCUAUACUAUUCCACAAUUCCAUGAUAUUUGAUUAUUAAAGCCGUUGUCGUUGCGCAUUAGCUCUUAUUGGCUACGAGAAGGGCUUACUUGAGCGGGUUGGUGCCUCAAUCCAUUCUUUUAUUUGAACACAAACAAGUGCUUUUUAGAGUCAAGUAUGGAUAAAGAGCGAUCAGAGGUUCGCCUGCUGAUACAGAGUAUUUCUAGUGUUGUUACUAGAAUCCAGUAGUUUUCUACUUUUUCAAUAAUGAUUUGAUUGGGAAUACAAGUAUCCUUGUUUGCUUGUUAAAAGCGUCUCAUAACCCAUACUAACUAAUACAGCUACGUGGGGGAAGAAUCCAAUCCGCUUUUUGUUCAAAGGAGAUAUCUCCCGAGAUUAUUGGAUUCUAGUAUAAAAGUAAAGUCAAGCAAGGGAUUCGGUUAUUGUUGCGAUUCUCUUCUUUAAGUAAUAAGUAACAGGGAAGCCAAGCCGGACGUUUGUGAGUUAAGCGAGUUAGAGGGGCUUCAGAUCUUGCCUCUAAUCCUUGAGUCAGUAGUGAGUUUAGUCUUUACAUGGAUCUUAGCUACCUUUUCAAUGCCAAUGCCUGUUAAGUAAGAUAUAGUCUGCCCCUAACCCUAACUUUCACCUUUCCCUCAGCAGUUGAGAAUUCUGUUCCGAGAUACUUUACCACAUUAGCUUCAGCAGUUGAGUAUGAAGGAAUACAAUAUAGUGGAGUUGAAAGCGCAUGGUAGGCGAUAAAGAGCAAACAAUCUCUAUUGGUUAGGUACCAAUUUAUAUUCUCCAUAUCCAUUAUUAUGUAAUCUAUUAUUAUCCAUAUCUAUUAUUAGAGAAUCUAAGUUUAUAGCUUAUUGUUCCGGCAAAACUCCUAUCGCGUUCAACUCAACCACUUCUAACUGCCUGGUAAACUCUACCUGGUCAACUCUACCUGGUUAACUCUACCUGCCCUAGCACCUACCUACUCAAUACUUCAGUAUUCUACCUUACUCUAACAGCAUUAGCCACAAAUAAUUCUUCCACUUCAACAAGAACAGCGGAUUCUUGAUACUUUGGACUCUGAUUCUUAUUCCCGCUACGUGUGGGGUCUAUGUCUAUACCAUAAACCUUUCUUUUCUAGCGCUUCUGAUCCCGAUCCAGCUUGAUUUAGAUCUUUCUCCAUCUUUUGAUCCUUCAUAUGCUUAGGCCUAUGAUUCUUUGUACGAUUCCACUCAUUUACUUGCGCCAACAAACAAAGAGAAAAGUCAAUCAAACACUUAAGAGUCAAGAGAUGCUUCAUAGCUACUUGGGCAUUCUGAAAGAGGAGAUUCGGGUCCUGUGUCUUGUCUUAGUUUGUUGUAAUUGCUUGUCGGAAAGUCUACUCGAUCGGAAGAAGAAAGUACAGGUGUAGCAGCUAGCUAUAAGAAUCCAAGAAGAAAGUACUUGCUUUGAAGCAGGAAGCGUAGUUAUUGUGGACGGAGUUCAAGGCUUUCCCUUUGUUGUCGUAUCUAGAACUAUAAGCUCUGUUCGGUAAAGAAGAAAGUAAGGGUAUCAUGCAAACGGUUUCACAAGUAGAGUUAGGGCAAUAAGUUCUUCUCGUGGAGAGUAAGGAGCAAGUCUGGGGAUGGGGGGUAAAUUCCCUAUGUAGCGCUAAGAGAAGAGAUGAGUACUACUUAUCAUUUCGGUUAUAAUAUCGACCAGAUCAGCAGGAUCCGGAGAACGAUCUAAAGUAGAAGAAAGAAAGUCGACAUCAACGAGAUCAGGAUCAGAUAAAGCAGUUUCAAGGAAGUCAGCAGCAAGCGAAGGAAGUGGGUCUUCGUGCUUUUUCUCAUACAAGGAAGCUAGGUUAAGUGGAGAAUGUGCUUCUAAAGCUCCCGGUUAAGUGGAGAAUGUGCUUCUAAAGCUCCCGCCUCAAGAGAGGAAACAGUUGCUUAUAGUUUCUUUCUGGUCGAGUGUAAUCGUAUAAAGAAGACAGUUAGCCCGCUACACUAUCCAAUUUUGUAUCAAGUAAGUCGCGCUUGUCUAGUGGAUCUCGUAACCGUAGCGCUUGUCUAGUGGAUCUCGGUGUUGGCGCUAACCCGCUCAAAGUAGUAGAGUUAUGGUCUUCCAAUUCUAGUUACGUUCUAGUUGUUGGCGAUGAGAGAGAAAGAAGUUCAUCGGUUAAGUAGAGUUGACAGCAGCGUUCUUCUAGUGUUAUAGACAAGUUUCUUUCAGGUUCUUGUGUCAUUGUCUACGAUAGAAUCUAUAAUCCCUCAGUUGGGCCGUAAAGUCUCUUCAAUUGCAUUUCGUCUUAAUAACAUAAACCGUUGUCGAAGCCUAACCCACCCGUUCGCUUGUCUUUAUCGUUACCCUCGUUCGCUUGUCUUUUUCGUGACCUUAAAGCUUCAGGGGUACAAAAUUCCUAACCAAGUAUCACCUCGCCGAACGAUCAAGUAUCUAAGAGCGUUUUCCGCACAUAAGUCUUUCUCAGUUGUUAUAGCACUUUUAGGGCUUCAUGAGUCGAUUCAGAAUCUUAGGUUCUCACUUCACUUGGCGACGGACUUGUCCCACUCCUCGUAAGUUCAAGCCCCAGCCCCCCAAGGCACUCCUAAUGUUGGGCGUGAGGUCUUAUUCGCUAGUACAGAUGUUUCUCAAUAUCCUUAUGCAUCAUUCAAUCAAUCAAAAUGAUGUUUAAGUUGUCUGUAUCAGCGGAUGGGAGACCAAUGAGAUGACUCAUACAAAUAACACGGGAUGCAAAUCUAAGAAAGAAAUAUCAUAUUAUCGUAGAAGAAACUCAUAUUAUAUAAGAGUAUUAUCGUAGAAUAGUCAAUUAUAGAAAAUAGAAGUAUGUUAGGUAAAACAGCAAACGGGUAUUCCACUAUUCGUUCAAGAGGUGCUUCCUCAUAGAGAGGGACAGUUGAAACUGCACGAUCAUCUUAAAGAAUUGAUGAUUUUGGAAGUGAGAACAACUACACGAGAUGGUACAAGACGAAAUGAUAGGAGAGGUAAAGCUUUGGAAGCAUGAGAUGGUCUUGAUCUUAGUUGGCUGGGAAUUGGUAAUAAGAUUAGUUGCACAGCGGUUAAACGACGAAAAAACGAAUGAUUAGAAUGCUUGUAGAGCAAAGUAAUGAAACGAUUGGAAUAGAAGAUAGGGUAUUCGAUCUACAAUGGGCGAGUUACUGGUAGAGCGGAAUACAGCUGUAACAGUACUUACGCUCGUGUUGAAGUCAGCAGAAAUCAAUUGGACCAUCUGAUACAACGGGCGAGAAAAAUACGAGGUCCAAUAGGAGAAAAAUAGAAACUCCAAACAAGCAGAAGCGCGCCGGGAGGAAAUGGAUAAGGGUAAUUGUACUACUCGAACUUUACUGAACUUUCCAAGCCUAUACACAAGCACCGACACCUAUACAACUUUAGCACCCAACCCAAAGCAAAGAAACUCUACUUUAAGACGAAAACAAUACUUUCAGUGACUUCCCAAUAUCUUGCAGCUGAAGAUCUUUAUCAGGCUUCCUCUCUUGUUGGAGACUUCCUACUUGUAGCGGACUUUGCGCUUGCAGUCAAAAAGAUCGGACUAGCUUCUUGCCUUGCACCGAGGAAAACAUUAAUGGAUUUUUGAGCAACCGGUCCUGGUAUAGAUAUAAGUAAGUCAACUGCUUCCCUUGAAGAGAUCUUAGUCCAAUAACUAGGCCAAUAACUUAACUCGAACUAGGAUUGCACGGAACUGACAGAGACUCUAAACCAACACUGGAAAUUCCCUUCCGCGGUAAAGAACAGGAACUACAUUUGAAUCUGGAACAAUACUUUAUUAACCGGUUGAUGCAGACUUUGGCACUGCUUAUUAUCCUGUUUAUGAUCGUAAUUCCAAUCCUUCUAUUGUCGACUUGAAUGGAGACUUGGACACAGAGAAGAACUUGCUGCUUCCUUUAGCUUUAGCGCUUACUUUGAAACAGCGGAUUCUCUUACAGCACGCAACACCUCUAGUAUAUCUUCUAUUAGAUAAGUGUAUAUAACCUCAUAGAAUAUUAUAAGCUUCCAUAUGAUACUGAAACGGAAACGGAAACAGGAACCGCAUCCGCUGAAGCCACUUUGAAUUCCAUAACUUUCCUGGACACCGAACUUCUCUAGCCCGGCCUUUAGAGUCAUUCGCGUUAGCACUUAGUCUUGAUCCGAAGUAAACAAGAAUUGACAGUUGAUCGAGCGCCGAAGAGAACAGAACUCACAUGAACUUGAAACUUCCCUUUCUGCUUCGAUUGCUGCUUCAUCAGAUACAGCUACUGCGGAUUCAGAUCUUUCUCUUGAAACGAUAACUACACUUUCAGAACCAACCGUACUUUAACUCGCGCCCCGUCUUUUCAACAAGAAAGGGAACCAGAGGGAAAGGGAAUCAAGAAGCUCACAAGGAAAGCUACAAUAGCCACGCUUGCUAAUCGACAUAUUCUUAUACAAUACAAUAGGGUGGAUGGAAUUGAGGCGAGAGAUGAAGAGGACGGAUGGAGGUGGAAAUACUGGCAACCUAGAAGGCAGAAUUCUAGUUCAAGGGAGUACUCACGCUUUGCAAUCGGAUGGUCACUUUACUCUCUCUAUGAUAGUUUAGUUAAUAAGUUAAUCCAGAAAGCAAGGUCCUAUCCUAAGCUCAAAUAAAGUAUCGGAAAGAAUAUUCCAUGAGAAUAAGUAAUAGUACAUAUGAAGCUAAGUCUCCGGGCGGGGGCGAUGGAAGCUUUGACUUUGAGGCCAACUUAACUAUAGGGCGAUGGAAGCUUUGACUUUGAGGCCAACUUAACUAGAUAGGGCCAACCCAUUGUAAGAGUAUGAAGCCAAGCAGCUUGAAAGCUUCCGGAGAAGUAGAAACUCCAUCUAGUAGCUCACCCGCUUGCUAGCUUCAGGCAACAGAAUCAAUCUAGUAGGCUCACCUGCUUGCUCGCUUCAGUAUCAACACAGAAUCAAUCUAGUAGCUCAACGGCAGUUAUCAAUACCAAAUCUCUAUGUUUAAAGGUUGGUCCUCAACAGGAAAUAUUGACUCUGUUGUGAACCGCUUCUAAUAAUCGAGAAAACAAGCACAUAGAUUAGCCGCAAAGCGAGCACGGGAAUCUUUCCCUGAAGGCUCAAUGUAAUAUGUAUAGAGUUAUAACUCAGAGAAAGAAGAAUAGUGAAAACUCAGAAAGGUAGAUGCUAUAUUAUUAAUCACUUAGAUAAGGCAGCAAGCAAUGUUAUUAAAGUAUGAGACAGAGGACGAACGCAUAUAUACCAAGCCCGCACAUACUGCACCUUUCAAGAGAGUAUGCUUUAACUGCACCUUUCAAGAGAGUAUGCUUUAGUAAGGCAGGCAGGAUUAGCUUUCUAAUGGUAUGAUGUUGUUGGGCUUCCUAUAGGACUCGUUCUUACCAUAGCCCCGUGCGUUAAUCCCCUACUGCCUCGCUUUCUAAAUGCACCACGGCUGAUCCGAAAUUCCAAGAAGUGAUUGCUUUUUCUCUUUAUCACUCGAAAACCAAAUGCAGUGAGCUAAGUGAGAGAAAUAGGUAAUGUUGACCAAGAGUAACGGACUACGCCAGCAAGCACGGAUGAUGGUUGGUCCAAGAAAGAAGAAAUCUCAUUCAAUCACCCAAUCACUAAGCUACUAUGCUAGUUUUCAAAGCCUUCAAUCACCCAAUCACUAAGCUGCAGGUUUUCCAUAGAAUUUCCUUCCAUUACCCUGACUCUUUAUGGACUCCUUCUUUAGAUCCUUCCAUUACCCUGACUUUUGAUGGACUCCUUCUUUAGAUAGGUUCACUUCACACUCCAUAAUCUUGGAGGGCCUGUUUAUGGACUCCUAAUGCAGAUAGGUUCACUUCAGACUCCCGACUCUUAUUGCCUGCCUGAUUGCCAUUACUUUAUAGAUAGCCUUAUGAAGCGCCCUGCCCAGUCCUUGAACAUGGGUUAAACGACUCUUAUCGCCUUAUUGACUGCUUUCCCUUAACCGAGUUGUGCUAGUUCUUGAGCGGGUGCGGCCCAUAACUAAGGCUUAUUUGUUUGCUUGAGCGUGUGCGGAACCUUACUGCGGAUUCCUUAUUCUAAGUUAUCAAACUGCGGAUUCCGGACUUCAAAACUCACUUAUAACACACAACUCCUUCCCUUUUAUACUUAGACGAACUCACGUUAGCCCUUUUGUUGAAUGGAAUCUCAUGCACAUAUAAAGGAGGAGAGUAACCUUUACUUAAACUAACUACUAAGGCAUAAGGGUUCAAGAAUAUAGGAGAGUAACCUUUACUUAAACUAACUACCAAGGCACAAGGGUUCAAGAAUAUCUAAGUAUGUGCUCUGACUUAAAAGAGGAGCAUUGAGGCACCCCUUGAUACUCGAAUAAGCAUGAAUUCUAGUGAUAGGCAUCCAGAUACUCCAAUCAGUAUUCAUUAUAGUGAGCGGUGAAAGUAAGCGCUAACUCUUAACACACUAUGGAUAGGAAUAAACCAAAACAAACUACAGUACUUCGUUUUGCUAAGGAAAAGAAUCGAAUGCUAAUAAUCAGUAGAGAUUGCGGGAUAUGGGAAUGGAAGGGAUGUGAAAAGGUAGAAAAGGCCAUCUCUCCUUUUUUUGUCUGUCUCAAGAGCAUUAGAAAGAUUCGUCCCGGGUCGGGUCCCAGGUGGUUUACGACUCGCGCUGUGGUACUCUGACGUGUACGUGCUGGAGGCAGGAGAAGAACAAAAGGGAGAGGGAGCCCCGCUGAUACUUUCCAGUUUUUAGCGUUCGUAGUUCGUAAAGGAGGAUAGAACGGUUUACAUUGAUUGUGGUAUAGGGUUUACAUUGAUUGUGACUUUAAUACAGAAACUCGUGUCCUUAUGAGAAGCCAAUGAAAGAAAUGCAGUAAUAGAUUCAUUUCAUACAUAAACUCGUUCUUAUGAAAGAAAUAAGGUAAUAGAUUAAUGGAAUGGGAACCCAUUUCGAAGCGAAGCUCUCUCGAAGCACAAGAAGGAAGGUAGGCGGGGAAGGACAGAAUAGCCGCUUUCCACUUCAGGACUACGCAACACGUGAACUGAACCCUCUAAACGCCUUAAUAAGGGGCGCUACACUCCAUCCAUACAUAAAGGUGAACAACUCUAUACUAGUUUCAAGAGGAUCUACUACGGAAUCUGCUAAAACGGUUCUAAUGAGUUUCCUUACUCUUUAUUAUCUCAAACAACGAGCAAAGUGACGGGCGCACCUGUUGCAUGAUCCUGGAGACAGUCUAUGCUUCUUUUUCUCGUCUUUCUCCUCUAUUCUGAAUUGAUUGACUAUUUGGACUUUGUCAAAGAAGAAGCUUCGCUUCCUCAUUCUACUUUACUGAAAGCGCAGCCAUUUCAUUUGCUUUGCCAGUCUCUCCAAUCUAAAGCAAGAGAUUCAUUAUCCAGUUAAAGCUGUGAGUGUCGGGUGCCAAUCUAAUUCUCCAAGACUUGUAACCGAGCAUCGUUAGCAGCAAUUGGAUAGGGUUUCGUCUUUGAACCACCUGGUUUAGGUUUACAGUGGUAUUGUUUGUGUUUCAGUCUGCAAGGGAAGCAGUUAGGUAACAUAAUUCCCUCAGUGGUGCUCGAGAUAUAAAUAAGUCGAAAUAAGAAGUCUUUGUGUUCUCUGCGCCUAGUACUCCUUUAGUUUGAGGCGGGCUGGGCUCUCAUUACAUCAUUAAUCCAUAAUUCCUGUUUUCUGUUGCAAGUUAAAGUACAGGUCCACGACCAAUCUGUUAAGUUGAUUAUGCAAAGGGUCAUAUUCUAUCAAGAUACUUGCCGUAAGAAACUAGUGCUGUUGUCGGUUAUCCAAAUGAAUGAGUUUCUUCGUAUAUAGAUAUGGAUGCUGUGCCGAAUUAAGCUGUUAGAGCAGUGGAAGAGGAAGCAUAAUUGCCAGUUACAGUUGAGUCUCCGAGCCAGUUACAGUUGAGUCUCCGAGAGAAGAAAGGCCUGUUCAAAAGUCAUUUACUCAAGAAGAAUCUAAAGCAUACGUUGCACUUGCCAGAGGCGGAAUGACAAGUUUCCGUUUCAUCUAUAAGAUCAUCUCUUGGCGAAUGAGUGCCCACAACUAGUCCUUUCUUCGUAGUCAUCUUAAGCAGUGUGAGCUCACCGUAUGAAGAGUAGAGAUCAGUAGAGUAUAUUUCUGUUCGAGGUUAAGAGUAGAGAUCAGAUCUUAUCGAAUACCAACGUUGCAAGGAUCUACUCAUUGCGCAAUAAACAAGUGCUUUUCUCGAGGGUCAAAUGCCUUUAAAGAGCCAUAGGGGUAUUAAUAGAUGUGUGACCGUUGUUUCCCAUAGCAUAGGUCCAAAUUCCCAGAAAGAUGCCUUUUCUCGAGCGCGGGGCACUGGUAUAUCUCAUUAUUAAGCAGGAAGGAAGGGUGUCGAAAAGUGUCUAAACAGGGAUUCCACUCUUACAGGCCAUUCUUAUGCUUCAUAUCUUUUACCACUGGCUCCAACUCUAUAUUCGAGUUCCGACUAAAACAACUAGUUGGACUUCUUCUCUUUUCACUCAAAGAUAUGUUUCUUCUCUCUAGGAUUUCUGUUAAGUUCUUGUUUGUUUUCUUGCACGUUCACUUUGGAUUCUAAAAUAGGCCUGGACGCUUACUCGUACGCACCAUCUAUUAACCUUUGUUUCAUUUGUGUCAGUAGAAAGGGCGAGAACAAGUGUAUGAGUGUAAGUUGAAAGAAUUAUUUGUGUCCUCUGCGCUCGAAAGAGCAGUAAAAGUAUUUGUGGAAUUUAUGGUUUCUAGUUUACUAUACUAUAGAUUUAGUCACAGGGGGAAGUAUAGUAUAUAGCUUAAAUAGUCCGUCGUCCAAGUAAGGAUGCAGGCUCAAGUAAGAGGUAAGUCGCAUCCGCUGCUCGAGUGUUGUCUACUGGAUCAGAUGCUGUGCUUUGAAAUGAUGUUCUACAGUCCCGUUCGGAUGCUCAGUCUAGUUCGGGUACACGGGUGUUGGAUCUUCGGCAGUACCAGUUCAAUCCAGGUUCGGUGCUGUAGCUCAGCUCCUUGUACAGAAUACAGGUAGAUAACUUCUGCCAGCGCCAAGUCAAUGAGUGGAAUCCCGAGUUUCAUCCUAUAUAUAAGAAGAAUAGGGAACCCAGAUCUUAAGCUUGAUCAUCAGCAGUUUAGUAUCAAGGUGUUGUCGACUCCCUUCUCGCUCUCUUAGUCCGUUUCUUCUCCAUUGUAGUUGUAUAUUAGACUCUUAGUAUAAGCCGAGGAUUCCAUUUAUUAGGUCUCCACCACUAUUACAGACUCAUCUUCUAUACUAGGGCUAGAAAGUGAUAUUUGGAUGGAAUUGUCAUGCCGUAGAACAUACUUUCGGGUACCCCAAUUGUGUUUAGGAUUUGCCAUUCUCUAAGUUCACCCUGGAUGUGAUGAAACAAGAGCAAGAGACUUAUAUGGACUCCGUACCGGGGCUCGGGCUCCUGCCGUGCAACAAGAACAACUGCCGCGCAACACACACUAAGUUGAAGCUCCUUUGGACAGGCUCGGACACAUUGAGUACACCCUAUACAUGUAUAAGAAAUCCUUACUUAAUGUGACAUCGGAUCUAUCAUUUUGGAAAGACGGGCAGUCCUCACGUUAUUGAACUCUUGUCUGUCAGUGAGUGAUUCAUAGUUUGUGUCAAGAAGGGGGCAUAGCGUCUCAUCUAUUUAACAAAUUGGUGGAUGUUUUGUAACGAGAGUGGAUUCCUUUUGGGGGUUCUUUGUCAUUCUGCUAACCUGAAAGAAGGAAUGAAAGAGCAGCUCCUGUGGUAAACAAAAGGUGGAAUUAUCCGGACUGUACGGACUAUCAUCCGAUGAGGCAAAAGGAGGAUAGAAAGUAGAUGAUAAAGGUCAGCGACAGUGGACGUUACUCUAGCGGAAUUUCAGUCUAUUCACAAUGAGAUAAUAAUUAUGAAUGUGAAGUGUGUUCGAGCACAAGGUGCUUCAAAGCGAAAAAGAGUCCUCUACUUUGACUUUGAAAGCUCACUAUUGUAUCACUGUCCGCUCGGGUUCUUCUCCGAUCCGGUCUUUUUUUCAAAGGGAGGGAAUCAAAGUAAAGCUAGGCUGGAAAGAUGUCUUUCCCAGUCUCCCAAUCGCCCCACCCAGCCGGAGUUUCUCUAGAGUGCAGCCAAAGGCGAAGAGAUUCUUCCAUAACCAAUCCAAGGUAUGGAGGAAGCUUGUUACUAAGAUCCCUUGUUUGGUAAUUAAUAUCCCAGGAUACAGGGUUUCACUUCUUUGUCACGGUUUGUGAGUCAACUGAUUCUGUAUUGAGCCGGCUUUUACAAACAAGCCCUAGUUAUUUUUGUAACCUCCAAGAAAGCAAGCCAAAAGUCCUAGAACUAGAAAAGCGAUAUUUCCUAGGUAACAUCCAAGGGAUGAAAAACGGACCCUACUUCCUGUGUACUCCACUUCUUAACUACUAUUUCUUAUUGUUGCCCCUCAAAGCGGUAACCGGUGCACUAAUAAUACCCUUCCUCUCGGCUAUCUCUCUUUCAAUUAACGCUAAAGGCAUGUUCUUUAUUGUAGAUAAUAUAAUCAAGGUAAUUCGAGUCAGAGAGAUAGAUGAUUCCAUUUCGUUCUUUACUUCAAGUCAUUCUCAGAGGCAAAAACUGGCUUAGAUGAGCUUCCUCUGCUAAUGGAUAGAAAUCAUGGCAAUCGUUGGUGCAGAGUUCCAUGCAGUUAGAAGAAGGCUUUUCACUAGCCUUGAUGAAAGCGACGAAGAGCGAGUCAAGAAUUCGAUUACCACGACAGAGGGCCUCGUGUGUUUGUGAGAGAUAGCUCCUAGUUCUGAAUGAACUGCUUCGAGCGAGCUGCCCUUAUUAUAUGACACAGGAUGUUCAACCCCAAUUAUGGAACUAGAAGCACAAGGCUCGAUAGACCUUAACUAUACUCCUCUGGAAUGAAGUGAGUCUAUAUACAACUGGAAUGAAGUGAGUCUAUAUACCAUACAAUAAAAGAGAAAAGCGGAUCUUGAUAGAUUGCCCUAGCCCUGCCAUCAAUCACUGAAGAAGGAUAGACCUUUUGAUACUUCGCCUUUUCUUUCAUAUGGAAAUGUCGCCAAAUGCUUGCUCUCCCGAAGCUAUGAAUUCCCUCUUUCUCGGGGGCUAGCGCAGCUCUCUCUUGUAUUAGCUAUAGGGUCAAUCCGACUAGAUCUAGGGUCAAUCAAAUCAGACUGGUAAAGAGGCAGGAAUUAUCCAAAAUAGGAAUGGUAGGCUCAUAGGCUGUAAAGCAAGACUAAAGAAAAGGAAGGGCUGCCUAACAUAGGGGUGUAGUAAGUCAGGGUUUGUUCCCUAGGAGUGAAGGCUAGUUUUUUGGAGUCUCGUAUUGCUAGCACCAGUAAAAGUCUGAGUUAUUAUAUUAAUGCUUCUUAGUAUGUGCGCGGAUGUCGUACCUGUCUUCUGAUUUCCCAGUUCCACUCUUAUUAGUGAUAGAUGCAUUCUUUCCAGUAAGUAGUGCAAUUCCAGUCCUGUUUUCUUCUUUGAGUUGGAAUAGGAAUAUCCAUCAGUUGGGGAAUAAAUAAGUAUACAGCAUGGGAGUAUACAGCAUGGUCGGGUAAUAUAGAAUAAAUAAGGGGUUUCCGAGUCAAUAGUCAUGGGAGUUUGAAGAGUCAAAUAGCUUGAGUUUGAUAGCACAGAUCCGGUUCAGGAGUCUUCGAGUUCAAAGCACUAGUGGAUUUCCUGUCAGCACUAGUAGGAUCCCUAGUUUCUUGUUUUGUUUCAAUUGCCAGAUGCGCACUAGAUCGUACUUCUCUAAUAAUACUAAGUUGAACUCAUGUUUACUCCUAUUAUUCUUAUGUCCCUUUGUUCAAUUCCGAUUAUCGUUAGUUAAUUCCCUGUUCCGAGCUAGGGUCCUAUACUUAUAAAUAGUGGUUUCAGUCUCUCUUUUAUUAGUUUCGCUCUAAUAGCAGUUAGGAUCUCUGCCCGAAGGAUGUAAUAAGCAAGUCCAGAAUUCUAGCCGGUAGAGCAAGCCCGAGAUGAAGUCAAGUAAGCCUCUAAUCCAAUAAAAGGAAAGUCAAGCCCAGAAGCCAGAAAAGCAGCAAUCUUUCCGUUUUCUAGGAGUCAAAGAGACCGACUUGGCAAAUAUUAAUUGCGCUAUCGCUCUGACUCUCCUGUCUCUCUGCCUUACUUCCUGUUUACCUUAUCUUUAUCCCCUGGCUUUGAUUCCUCUACUAAUAAGAGAACAACUGGUGCCUCUCAUAACCAACCUUGAAAAGGGGGAAUUCAAUCCAAAGUAAGAGAAUCAAACGAGUAAGGCAAGGGCUGAAAUCACCGACAACAGACAAGUAACCACCAAUUAGUGAUUAAGAAGUUAUUACUGCAGUUGUAUUCGCAGAACUCGAUCCAAUAGUCAAAAAGCCUUAUCUUGAUAUCGAUGCCAAGCCUCCAUUACUAAGUAGUAAAUCUGACACUUGUUUGGGUAUUCAAUGGAUUAAGUCAUAAGCGAACUGCUAACUAUGAGAUUGAAAACUUGUCAUAAGGAAACCAACCACUGCUUAGCGGGCUAACCAACCACUGCUUAUCGGGCUAUAGUUACUGAGCCAGAUCCCUACUUCUCUUCUCGGCUUGACUCUUAUACUGGGUUUGUUGAUUCCUGUGCUCUUGUUUCUGUAAACUAACCACUCCACUACUACUUUAAGGAUCCUAUCCCCGGUUUGAUUCUUUGUUUACUACUUUGUAUGGUAGUUGAGUUCUUACUUCUUUGUUUCAUUAAUACUUUCCUACUUGAGAGAAGAGUUACCUUACUUAUAGCUUAUUGCCUAAUUGCAGAAUAUUGGUCAUAGGGUAAAGAGAAAGGGUUGAUGCAAUCGGUAACUAUUUAUUUGAUACCUGAAUUCGGAUCUCUGUAACGAGCAACUCUGACGCUGGAGCGGAAUUCUUUCUUAUUAGUAAGGAAUGCUAGGUAAGUGGGAGUGCUAGGAAGGCGCAAGACUCUCGCAAAUAACUAUACAUAAUGUAUUAAUUAGUUGCUGUUAUAAACAAGUGCUUUUUUUAGUGCUUUGUUCACCGGUGUCAUUAACAAGUCCUAAUUUUCAUAUGUCUUUCUUUGUUGUCGUAGAUAUUAGGACUACCGCUACACUUACGUAGUUACUUGGUAGGUGCGAGAAAGCCUUUACUUUACCUCGCCUCGCCUCAAAGCCAGUAGCUGAAGAUUCUUAUAGCAUUGGUUACCGGGUGGGUUUCUUUGAGUCCAACCCCAAGCAUGAAAGGCAGGUCUUCAAGGAUAGGUCAUGAGCUGGAGCUAGGUAAGUCCGGAUAGGUAGGCGGGCAGGUCUAUCUUGCUUUAUACCCGGGUAGAGAAUAGAGUUGACUUCAAACUUGUAGAGAAAUCUCGCUACGAAAAAGUCAACUAUCCGCUUGUGUCUCUGUUACUAGUUUAGUGCGGUUAAGAGCUUACUGACGCCGAUGUACUUGUUUCAGAAUUCCACUCCUCCUCGUAGAAGAAGAGAAGAGAUGAGCCAGAGUAUGAUGAGACUGCCCUUCUUUACUAUGAAUUUGAAUGUAUCCAAGAGAAAUCAGUUAGUAUAAGAGAAGGUCAAAAGAAAGAGUUUCUUAUUAGUGGGAAGGCGCAGUGAUUGAAUAGUCACCCUACCAGAAUCUCCAUGGAAUGACUCGAUCCAUGAAGCCUUUCUUACCCACAUAUCGGGAUCUUUCUAUCUAGGUAAGGUUAGCCACAUUGAAGUUAGUGCUCCACCCCUUGGUAUGGUACCGGAAGCACUUUGUAUUGGUACUAAAUGUGUUUCCCUGCCUUGAUAGGAGUCAAGGGUAUCAGAGUUUAGAGUUGUAAGUAAGGAUUCUCCUAUAGAUACAAUUCCAGUCUGUCUUCAUUCAAUUGAUCAGUCUUCCAUUCCACUAUUCAAAAGUGAGAGUUGAGAGUGUAGGGAAGUCUCCUAUAGGGCUAGUACAUGUGUGACUUCCAUGCUUUGUAGGGCACAACAAGAAGGAGCGAAGCUGCGAGAACGAAUGGGAGACGGUCCAUGUUAAUAGAGCUCGCAUAUGUCGAAGAAAGAGGGGGGUAGAAAGAAGAGAGUGGUUCUAGAGUUGCUCACCUUGCAGGGACGGACGGAUUAAGCAGAAGCUGAAGGGCGUCAGGCAGAGGGUCUCGAAGUGAAGUAUCUUCGGCUUACCUUUUUGCUUGUUCCGUGUUAUAGCAAAUAGUAGAGCCAAGGUGAAGCUCCUGGAUCCGUAGCUCGGUAAAGGAAUGACAGAAAUAACUUAGCCUUGGUAGAUCAACUCAAGGUACUGACAAAGCUCGUAAGAACGCGGAUUCCAAUGAACAAGAAUAACGACUACUAGGAAUAGCAGGGCUAGUCAACAAUGGUUAAGUUGGAACACUCGCUUCUCGCUUCGAAAGUGGAGUAGUAACCAUUUUCGUAAUUGCCAUCCUAUAGGAGAGGAGAAACUCUUUAUUUCUAGUUCGUAGAGAUCCGAUUGAGAAGUUAUUGAUCUGGACAAUCCCAGGUUCGUAGAGAUCCCCGAUUGAGAAGUUAUUGAUCUGGACAAUCCCAGGUUGUUUGUUACGAAGGUUGCCUGGUCUGACUCAGCACAUAAUGAAAGGGCUUUCCUCCUACUAGAAGAAAAGGGGUCAAGUUCAUAUUCAAAGAAGGGAAUCUUGUCGGGAGCCCCUGAUUAGCGGUUGGAAGCACGACGGAAUCUAAAUAGACCAACGCGUGCUCCACCUAUAAAAGAUGGAAGAGUACGCUCGAUAUAUCACAGAGGAGGUAAUGGGGAUCAAUAGAUCUAGUAGCUCGUCCUAGGAUGGUACAAGCCCCAUAAAAUAGCAUACUUCGGGCCUUAUAAUCAGACUGCAAAUUCAAUGGAUGCAUACUUCGGGCCUUAUAAUCAGACUGCAAAUUCCAUUAGUUCGUAGUGAUCUAAUGAAAUGAAAUGGAUUGAGUUCUACAUGAUCUAAUGAAAUGAAAUGGAUUGAGUUCUACAUGAUCUAAUGCUGGGGUUAGGGAGGAGAGUGUGCGACCGCGAAGUGAUAGGUUGCUUCUGAUUUUGGAUCGGUAAUUCUAGAGUAGUCCCUUUCUUUUUUAGUGUAGAGGAUUAUUGCCCGAGCUGGCUGGAGCUUUUAGUAGUAUGUGGGAGCGCCCUUUCUUCCUUUCCAUAAAUUCCCACUAAAGAUGUUGGAGUGCUACAUCGUCGAGAUUACUUCGCUUGCCUGUUGACGGUUCCCUUUAUGUCAGGAUGAAAGACAAAUGAAUACAAUGUCAGAAAUGACCAGGAUGAAAGACAAAUGAAUACAAUGUAAGAAAUGACGCGAGAAGGGAAGUUUCAAGUUCAAAUACUGGUGUUGGCGAUGAUAGAGGCGAGGCAAUUCCCCGUUUCGGGUUUCAUUCUGUUACUACUAGACAAGUCAGUAAGAAUUCCGUGAUAGGAGCAAUAGGUAUAGGAGCCGAAUUAAGCAAGGCAAGUAAGAAGGAAGGGAGUUCAUUCCGCAAGUAAGAAGGAAGGGAGUUCAUUCCGCAAGUAAUAAUUCAGGGAGUGUAAUUCCGCAAGUCAUAAUUCAGUCAGGGUAUAAGAUAAGCGGGUACGAUCUAGCUCUGUACUAAUACAUGUCAGAAUAAAACAUAUAGGCUUUUCACGCAAUUGAUUCAAAGGUUCAGUUAAGUAGAAAGUGUCAUCGUACUAAGAAUCAUAGGCUCAAGCAGAAGCAAGAUAUGGAGUAGGAAUAAGAUCUGAAGCCGGGUGCUCAAUAGUGAGAAUUCCACUCCUACACAGUAGGGAAAGUGAGAAUGGAAUGGCAACGAGGGAAGUUGACUUCACAACCGCACCAGAGCUAUCAAGGAAAAUAUCCAAACUGGAGCUGUUGUUUGGACUGUUGUUUGCUUCUAAUUAAUAUCAACUAACUAAUAGAAUGACUCUAAGUAUUUUGACUCUAAUAAAACCACUAGUGGAAUUACGAUAAUCAACCUACUAUUAUGAAAUACAAAUAAGCAUAUGAUAAAUAUAAGUCAAUAAUAAACUAAGUAAAGUCAAAGAAGCAGAGACAGGGUAGACUAAGUAAAAGAAUAAUAGACAGGUUAGUCAGAUGAAAAGGAAGUAGAGGCGGGCUGCCAAUAGGGGGGAACUCACAAGGCAUUGAGGGUCGGUAGUGCAAGUCUUAUUCCCGAGUGAGAUUCAGCAUAUUCCCUGGUUCUCGGUGUUCUCAUUCUCAUCAGUAUCAGUGUGCGAUUCUUUCAGUUGGUCUUAUCAGCCUUGUAGUAUCUCGAAAAAAGUAUCUGACUUGAGACCAGUAUACUCUAUUUCAGGCUUGCGGUGAACUAUUGCAUUCUCAUCGGUAGUGUUUUCAGUCUAAUAGCUUUUAGAGGUUUCCAGUUUCUAAGUUCAAAAGCACUAGUGGAGUUCCUUAUUCAAAGUAUGAGUUCCGAGCAAAGGUAUUAAAGGCAGUAGAGCAGGAUCCGAAUCAGUAGUAAAAGAACGAAACUAUAAAUAAAGAGUUGAAACCAAGGAGAGGUAGAUUGAAAGGAGAGAUAUAGAAUGCAAAUCCGGAUAGUAAGCCAGUUUGCUAGCAGCUCCAAACUCUUAUUAACAGUAGUCCGAGUCUAAUAGGCAAUGAAAGCCCUGUUUCGAGUUAAAGUAUGAUUAGGCGCAAGUUCCAUUCUUUUACCACUUAGUAGAUUAUGAUAAUUUCCAUAGGCCUAUGCCUUUUAUUACACCUAUACAGGUAACAUCGUACCCAUUUAUAUGACUUAUCGGUUGGAUUCCGAGAAGCCAACAGGAGUUUGCUGCUGGUACAGCCUUGUUUGCUGUGUUUGAAGUCUCGGUAGCACUAGUUGUAGGUUGCAAGCUAAGAUAGGUAUACUCAAGCUGAGGAAAGGUAGGCUUGGAAGUAAGUGUUAAAGAAUAGCGGUUUGGGUAGCAAGGCUGUUAGGUUGUAGUCGAAGAGUGAAGGAGAGCAAUUGCAGGUUGAAAGCAAGGAUAGCUAGAGUAAACCCAAAGAAGGACAGGCUCAUAGGGCAGUAAAGAGACUAUUAUUGGUAGUAGUAGGGUGAUUCUAGUAGUGAGUUGGAAUGAGAGGGACUAAAUACAGAUGUAGAUUCAAGAGAUCCAGAGUGAAACUAGUACAAAUAGGAGUGUGUGAGCUGCAGCAUUGCUAGUUCCGAGUUCCAUUCCCCUUUCUCAAGUGAAAGCCCUAGUUCCGAGUUCAAGUCUCAGAGUACCCAAUUAUGGAUUCUUUAUUCUUUUAUUUAGUCUACUAGUUAUUAGCAUAAGAGUUAGCCCGGGGCAAGUUAGAUUUUCUAUCAGAGUCUCAGAGUGAAAUACAUGUUUGGAAGCUAUGAAGUAAGGCUUGGCAUGAACACCAACAAUAUACCGUAUUUGAAAGUCUGGAUCCUAAUCAGUAGCUCUAUAGUCUUCAAAGAAGUUUUUGGAUUCCUUGUUCCUAGUUGAGUUCACUGAGUUUACUUCCCUGUUCCGAGUUUAGUCUAUCAGAGGGGGGGUAUUGUCCAAUUCCUUAUUAAUAAUCAAAAGGAUCCGUAUUCUGUGGCGAAAGAGUCAAGGUAAGGGUAGCGAGCCUGUUUGCUAGUAGCCUGAUUAUUAUUGAGAAGAUUGAUUUCCUUAGUGUUGUUUUAUCUUACAACUACUAAAACUAGUAGCCUUAGAGCUAGUUCAUCUAAGAAUGGAAGAAGUAAGUACCAUACCCUUCCGUCGUGAGAGGGCAGGAAAUUAGACAGAAACCAAGUAUAGAAAGAACGUAAGACAGGAGUUUAGGAACGAGAAGCAAGAGAAUAAGGGCUGAGACUGUGGAUUGGCUGUUUGAUAAAGCUAACAAUCAAGGCUUGGCUACUCCGGGGCAUGUUGGUUAUGAUACCGAUUAUUUGCAUUCUUUCUUUGAGUUAGAAACAAGUCCUGUGUUCUGGAGCUACUGCCAAUAAGGUGGAAACAAGAGACCGGGAAUAACACACUCGAUAUAAAGAAUUGAGCCCUGCUGGCAAAGAAUCCAAAAAGUCAAAUAAAGAAAAGGAUGCCUUGGGAAUCUAGAGCGGAGCGGGUGAGUCAAAUACUUGAACUUAUGAGCCUAGGAAUGACAACACCCCAUAUAGACUUCAAAUAGUCCAAAUAUGAUUUGAAACACUAAUACGGCUACUCGAACAGCAGCUAACAAGACUCGCUUUCUUUAAGGACCAUGAGCCUGACCCCUAAUCCGACUAUCCUUUUUCUUAGCCUACUGCUACUUGCUUAAAAACUGUAUCUAGUGCUUAUAAGACCACCACUACCUAUACCAUAUAUAUAUAUAUGUAAGCAUGAACUACAGGAGCAAUAAGAAUUGACUUAAUGCCUAAUCGACUUGGACUUAUCAGUAGCUCCGUUCCUAUUAGCGGAGGAAUCAGACUUAUAAGAAGGAGUUGUAUAACUAGAGGCAGUAGCGAGAGUUUCAACCAAUAGAUAGGGAAUUUCUAUCAGUAGGAGCAGACCAAUCGACGGGGUUUAGUUCUUAUAUGACAAUUCAUUCUUCUAUUAUAUAUUACUCAUUAUUGAACGGUAUCGGAUCAAGUCUUGUUGAUCCUAGGUUGAUUCUUUCUAUUGAUCUUACUGGUCUUGUAGCGUAGGAACGUAUCCAUUGAUCUUAUUUGUCUUGUAGCGUAGGGCGAACGGUCUAGUCGAAACUUAGGGAGGACAUCCAUCUAAUGGUAGAAAGAAAGUCCGGACAUCCAUCUAAUGGUAGAAAGAAAGGGAGGACAUCCAAUCUAAUGGUAGAAAGAAAGUCCGGACAUCCAAUGGUAGAAACAACGAACAACGAGGUGGUCCAUCGCAUAUGCUAUGAAGGUACUGCGCCCCUGUAAUGAUUGAUUUUAGCUACUCCGUGGUGGGACCAAUCAUUCUGUGAGCAGCUAUGUGUGCUCUGGCCCAGCAACUACGUCUUCGGUCGUUGACUGAGAACCUACCGUGCUUUAUUGCAGACACCACUCAGAGAUAGAUAGGUCGGGCAAGCUCACAUUAUAUAUGAGGUCGGGCAAGCUUUUCGCUCGAUGUUGAUGAAAAAAAGUAAGGAUGAUAGUGGUCAAUACGGAAUGAAAAGAAACCACGAUACAGAGAAUGACUUCGGGAGGCGGUGGGGUGGACAACCUAAGAACGAGAUAGGGGAGCGAAAGAGCUAAAGAAAGGAUCGGUAUGGCACUAUGAUAUGGUAUGAUAUAAUAUGGUAUGAUAUAAUAUGGUAUGAUAUAGUAUGGUCUGAUAUAAUAUAUGGUAUGAUAUAAUAUGGAUGGUAGACGUACCCACCACAUAUCCAAGGGAGGAACAAACAAACCCAUAUUGAACUAAGUAGUCAAAGGAUGGAGCUAGGGACGGGAGCAGAUGUAGCUAGGUAAGUGAGGAGCGUGGAUCGAAAGAAGACAAGAUAGAG